RNAcentral lists this long non-coding RNA (46899 nucleotides) under Ananas comosus (pineapple). RNAcentral describes it as "long non-coding RNA (ACOM_LNC007802)". The record is from RNAcentral. Lineage: Eukaryota; Viridiplantae; Streptophyta; Magnoliopsida; Poales; Bromeliaceae.
GUGAUUCGAAAGUAAAUAAUAUAUGAUUUUUUAAAAUAUAUAUAUAUAUAUAUAUAGUUGAGCUAGAAUACUCUCAAAAGCACCAAGAGAUUGGUCCUUUUGAGUUUUUAACCCUUGCAUGGAGAAAUAUAAGGUUGGGAUAAUGGUGGUAGGUGGUGGUUGAUCCAAGGGAUAUUAGUAAUAAAGGAGUAAAUCCAAGGGCUAGAAACCUAGAAGCACCAAGAGGGUGAAACUUCUAAAGGUAUUCUAGCUCAAUUUUAUAUAUAUAUAUAUAUAUAUAUAUAAUUAGGCUACUAUACUAUCUAUAGUACCGGAGCUCCGGUGCUAUAGUUUUAUUUUCGAUCUUAGGGUGUUCAAAUUAAUGAUCCAUACCGUUAAAUAUGAUAUAGGGUAUAUGAAAUUCUUAGGAAUAAAAUUUUAGUCUUUUUCGACAUCGUUUACUUAAUAAAUAAAUUAUAUCAAAAUGGACGGUGGAAAUUGAAUAUUCUUUAAAAUUUGAUCAUAGGACUUUUGAAUUCAAGAUCAAGAAUGUUAACCUUAAUCUAGAUAGUUUAAAGUAUUUUCUAUCAAAAUGUAAAGAAAUUUAGAUUCUUCUACACCGUUAAACUCCAAACUUGCCAUAGUAGCCAUUGAAAAUUGACAAUUUUGAAAUAGUUUGAUCACAAAGUAAACUAUGUCGAAAAAAUAUAAAAUUUUAUUUCUAAAAACUUUAAAUACCCUAAAUCAGUUUUAACGGUGUGGAUCGUUGAUUUGAACAUCUUAAAAUCGAAAAUGAGACUAUAGUACCAGAACCCCGGUACUAUAGAUAGUAUAUGAGACUAGCUCUAUAUAUAUAUAUAUAUAUAUAUAUAUAUCCGGCCAUUAUACUUUUAUGAAUAUAGAUCUUUUUGUACUCAUAGAUUUUGACAGUUGAUCUACUCCUUUAAACAUUUUCACCCGUUAAAUCAUAUUAUUCAACUAAUUAGCCAUCUAUCCAAGUAUCCAACCCUCUCUUAUUCUAUAUUUUUCCAUCCAAUGGCCGAAAAUAUAUAAGUACAAAAAGGUUUAUNUACCUUUUCGUCUAUAUAUAUAUAUAUAUAUAUAUAUAUAUAUAUAUAUAUAUAUAUAUAUAUAUAUAAUUUUGUAGAUUGUAAGAUAUUAAAAUUAAAAUUUUAAAAUAUUGUAUAGUUUAGAUAAAAUAUAUGUUAGUAUUAGUAUUAAUAAUAAUUUGCAUGCCGGCCGUUGUUGCUCGUGUGGACGAGGACAGGCCUUAAAACCCAAGUCAAAAUAUGACGCUUUUGCCGGCCAAUUAAUCCUCUAAACCCUAAACAAGAUUAAUAUCAAAAUAACUACAACUUAAUUUCCAUUAAAUGUAAUUUUUUUUUAAUUUGGUCUCUAAAACUGCUAUAUUUAGUGCCUAAUGUAGACGUACAUAUAUAUGUAAGCCCAAAUAAAAGCUCCUAUUCUUUUAGUUUUUCAUCAAAUUUUAUGGAUUUUUCUCCAAAAAAAUUAUAGAAUUUUUGGUCAAGGUUGUCAAGGGAUGGUUGAUCUUAGAAACCUAGGACAAGAAUUAGUGACUCCUUAUUAAUUAGUUUGUAUUCUUCUUGGUUUUCCCAUUCACUAUACUCAUUCCUUGUUGCUUCUCUUCUUAUUAUGGGGUUACCUUAUGUAUGCUCUUCAUGGCUCCCCCUCAUCUCAUAAGCUAAUCUCUCUCUCUCUCUCUCUCUCUCUCUCUCUCUCUCUCUUCAUGGGUGACAAAGCAACCUUGGCGAAGGCGAGGCAAGAGCUCGAGGAACUUUACCUCGGCGUCCCCGACGACUCCGUCGACCUUUCGUUCAAGGACCUUCUGAGCUUUCAGCAGAAUGAAGUAGCAGAAAGAAAGACAGCCAACAUCAGCAUGCUGCCAAUUCGCGAAGAACGCACAAUUGACGGUCCAAAAACAAGCAUGAUCAGUAGCUUCGGUAAGUCGCCAAGCUUAGAUUUCGUCAAGGGCUUGCAAGCAGUUCGAGAUCGAGAGCAGAACAUCGACGCGGAACAGGAGUUGCACCGCGAGCGCGUGGCGAGGAACAGCUUCAAGAGGGGCAAUGUUGGAGGGGCUAGGAAUGUGGUUCAUGAGAAUAGCCAAGUGUACAAUGACUUUAGUGCUAUGAGCAUGGUUGGCCCACUCGAAGAGCGCGGAGGACGGCGGCGGCAGGGCAUACCUCACUCAAAUAUCUGCGCUCUUUGUAGCAUCUACAUCUACUUCUUCAGACAUCGUUGCUUGGUAUACGCAAAUCGUUUUUCGAAUGUUUCUGAACUGUUUCUUAUCAAAUUCAUAUCUUUUGCAUAACAUGGUAUCAGAGGCUUUUAAAUCCAAAGGAUUCAUUAGUUUACUAAAGAAUAAAACAACUAAUUUGUUAUAUAUUUUUUUUUGUCGCAAUUGAUCACAGGUAUGUGGAAGAGUUUAUUGUCGACAAUGCGUUCGAAUCGGAAUGGGAGAAAUGAGUGAGGGAAGGAAAUGCACAGAGUGCUUAGGAAGGAGAUUUAGCCAAAGGUCUCCACAUAAUCAAUUUGCUUAAUUAAUGGUUCAUAUAAUUAGUAAAAAUAUGUAAUAAAUGUUGUUGUAAAUAAUUGAUAACAUGCAUUUUGAACUAAAUUCAUGAACUUUAGAAGAAGUACUAUAUUUGCCAUGCAAUUAUAUUAUAUUAUGAUUUUUUUUUAAAAUAAAAGUUUAAUUAUAUCAAGUGUUUCAAUAUUUGAAACAUUUGUAAUAUUACGAAGGCGCAAGGCAAAAGUUAGACGGUAAAAUUAAAAUAUUUUUAAAUUUAAAUAUCUAUUUAAUUUAAUUUUAACCUUUUUUAAGUUCAAAUAAUUAUUUCAAAAUGUGUUAUAGCCGGACUCUUUAAUAUGGCUAGGGCUACUAUACUCUUAAAUUUUGGACUCUUUGAUGAAGGAGUGUGCGGUUAGAAUGAUAGCGGACUCCUAGUAUUAAGUGGGUGGUUGGUUGAAUGGUAUGAUCAAAUGGAUGUAAAUAAUCAAAGGGAUAGAUUUAACGGCCGAAAACUUAUGAAUACGAAGAAACCUAUACUCAUAAGAGUAUAGUAGCCGGACUCUAUUUAAUAUAUGAUCUUUUAUACAUAGGUACAUCGAACGCGCGGGGAAGAUGGGGUGUUGCUGGCAAUAUCCGGGCGAGGUGAAGCUCCAGGAGCUGAUAUGGGCGGAGAAGGGGCCGCGACGGAGCGGCGAGAGGAGGGGCAGAGCCGAUGGCGUGUCGAGAUCGAUGCUUGGAACACCGACGCGAUCCCGACCGUCGGUUUCGAGAAGCCCGAUGAUCAUGAUGGUUCCCGGAACACCGAGAUCCUUUGUUAGCACUACUAGCCUCAGCUCUUAUGCGAAGAGCUCCACGUUCUCACCUAAUCCCCAUGCAUUUCCUCUCUAAUUAAGCGCAAUUAGGGGAUUUAAAAAUGUUUUUAAUUUAUUUGCUUUAUUAAUUAUUUAGAUAAAUUGAGUUCUUAUAUACGGAGUGUUUAUGCUUAUAUUAUUUUUUUUAAAAAAAUAUUUGUCCGAUCAUUUUUAAUAUGAUCAAUCUUUAAUUUCUUUUUAUCAAUUUACCUAUCUACAUUUUUUUUUUUGAUUGUGUGUGAGGAAAUGAAAGAUAUAUAUGUAAAAUUCUCACUAUCUAUUAAUCAAUUUAUAGAUUUUUUUUAAUAUAAUUAUCGGAUCAAUUUGGUGAGUAACAAUGUUAAUUUCGUACAUGUUACAUGCAUUAUUUUUUAUUCGCCAAACAAUUAUAUAUAUGGAACUAUUGCGAACUUAUUUGGUUUAUAUAUAUGAGUUCCAGAGAUUUUUUUAAAAAAAUAAGUUAAAAACAUCACAAAAUUAGCAGUAAUGGUCAUAAUUAGAUAACGAAUUAUUGAAAUAGAGACUCAAAUUUGUUUUGAACUCAAACAACGAGGCCAUGGCUCACAACAGCCAAAUAUUGGCCCCCUCUCUUAUUUAAUUAAUUAAGACACACACAUAUGCCACUUCACACACACAUAUAACAUAUAUAUAGUGCAAAUUCAUAUAGAACAACUAUAACAACUUAUUCUCACACUCCUCCAUGCAUGCGUACGUACGUGUAGCCACAUGCAGCUCCAAUUCCUUUAAUUUGUAUGCCUCAGUUCAAUCUGCAAUAAUUAACACCCAAUUAAUUAUGAGACUAGAAAAUAUUAAAAUAUUCUUUAAAAAAAAGAAAAAUUAAAAUGGUAGGGAUUAGGUCCAAAUCAUGGCUCUGAUACUAUGUUAAAUUUAAAAAGCUUUGCUUACACUGAGCAGUUAGGGUCAGCGCCAAUCUUGUAGGGGAGGCUGACCCCGCACUGCGCCACGAUCUUGUCGAAGGCGUCGACGGUCAGCCCCGAGUAGGAGGACGCCUCGCUUUUCAGGCACGAGCAGAUCUGGCGGCGCACCGCCGUGGUUGAUGCCACGUCGCGCAGCUCCUUGGCGCCGCUGCAGCACGCCUGCGAUAUCUCGCCGCCGGUGAUGUAGGUCACGCAGGGCCCGACGUAGCUGAUCACGUCGGCGCAUGUGAUCGCCUCGGCCCCGCGGAGCGGCGCCGCGAGGAGCAGGAGGAGAAGGAAUGACGCGGCGAGCGAGGCGCGGCGGGAGGCGGCGGCGGCGGCGGCGGCCAUGUGGUUGUGUGAUUGAUUGAUUUGUAAGGUGUUUGAUGGUGAGAUGAAUGGCUUGUGUGUGGGUGUGAUCAUGAAGGGGCCGGGGAGGGGUUUAUAUAGGAAUGGGUGUGGGUGUGUUUGCAACUUUGCAUUGCAUGCAUGCAUGUGUUAUUGGGGUGGUUGAAGGACUGGUGAAGUAGUGCAAGUACUACAAGAUCUUGUUAUUUAUAGUUUGUGGUUGAAACCCCUAAUUAAUUAAUUCAUUAAUUAAGGUCUCUACUCUCUAACCACUUAAUUUAAGAGUAAUAUUAUCUUCGCUUUUAAGGCUUCAACGCUCCCCGGUCCGUACCCCAUCCAUACACACACACACACACACACACACACACACACAUAUAUAUAGGACAAAUUACCCAAAAAAAAAAAGUUUAUACCUAUUUCACCCACUUAAAUUAGAAUUGAAGUGACGAGCUAGAUAUGGGGAAAGAUAAAUGAAAUGUGAGAAGAAGUAAUUUUAAAAAGUAUUGAAUUUGGUUGGAUCGAAUAAUUUUACUGAAACGGGUUUAUUAGUUGAAUCUUAUUAAAGAGGUUCAAAUUUGUGAAAUAUUAUAGAAUUGGAAUAUAUAUUCAUUAUCGAUUGUACAUAGUGCAGUUGCAUGACUUAAUGGUCGGUAUCUCAGUUUUAAGUUUGAAGUCUAAUUAUUUUACAUUCUAGCUAAUUAAUUCUUGCAUCUCCAAAACUCAAAUCUCGUGGAUUGAUCACAAAUACUGUUGUCAGCACGUUAAUUUCAGCAUUGAUGCAAAAAUUGGCCAAACCUAUAUUUGACUCCAUAGUCAUGUUAUCUGAUUACAUCUAGUUAGCAAAUAGCUGGUAUAUAUUACCAGUAUAAAUUAAUUUUUUUAUUUUUAAAAAUAUUAGUUUAUUGAUUUCACUAUGUUUUUAGUAAAAGGAUUUCAAAUUUAGAUAACAUUAUUUUUUUAGAAAUGUUAAUCAACUGGUCUUUGACUUGAGACCUCGGAUCUUCAAACUCUUAGCCAACUGCGGUAGGUAUAUAUAUGUUUGGAAUAUACAACAUUGAUAUAUUAUUAUGAGAACCAUUUAGUCUUAUUUUUUGUUUUCACCUUUAGGGCUUGUUUAUUUGUUUGUAAGUGUUUCUUAGCUUGAAAAUGAUCACUUCUAGUUGAAAAUUUGAAAUACGGUUUGGUGAAAUUUUUUUCCCACUGUAGCUGCUUAUUUGAUAGAAACUAACUAUAAUUAUCUCACUUUUUAAUUUAUUUUAUUAAAAAAAUGCAUUGCAAAAAGAUGAUGAUAAAAAAUUACAGUUGCUAGUUUUGUAUCAUUUUUUUAAUCUCUUUUCCUCCUAUAAUUGACUUAUUUACAACAAAUCAAAUGGCGAAAGUGGUCAUAUGCGGCAUAGAAAUGAUUUCACUCUCUUUCUCUUUUGGUGAAACAAAUAUGCCGAUAACAACAAUAAAAUAUAGUGGAGCAUUUGAAAAAAAAAAAAAAAAAAAAACUGGAGCUUGUACUGUAAUGGAAAUUAAGUAAAAAUGAGAUUGAUACAUGACACUUCACCAAGAAGGAAUAUUAUUGGGUUUCUUUCCUUUUUUUUUAAAAAAAAAAAAAAACUUGAGUUUUGCUAAACUAUUCAUCUAUUUUUUAUUUUCUUCUUGUUUUUAAAGGGUGGGGCAAUAGGAUCUAGAUGAAGAUCAGUGGAGACGCAUAAAACUAAUGUUUUAAUUGAAUUUUUUUAAAAUUUCAGAAUAUCUAAUUUUUCUAUGUUGUAGUUGAUUUUCUUUGUUGACAAAAUGCUCACUUAAUAAUAAUAGAAAUCGAGUAAUUUGUUUUAAUCAACAAUAUUCUAUUCUCAACUCUUAUAAAAUUUUGUUAAGUAAUUAAUUAUGGUNAUUUUUUUAAAAUUUCAGAAUAUCUAAUUUUUCUAUGUUGUAGUUGAUUUUCUUUGUUGACAAAAUGCUCCAUUAAAUAUAAUUAACGCCUAUAUAUAGCAAUGUCUAUGUUGAUAAUAAAUUAUAUAAUUAAUUGAGUAUCUCACUUAAUAAUAAUAGAAAUCGAGUAAUUUGUUUUAAUCAACAAUAUUCUAUUCUCAACUCUUAUAAAAUUUUGUUAAGUAAUUAAUUAUGGUUCAUGACAAUUGAUCAUUUGACCCUCAAAAUCUCAGGUUUAUUCUUUUUUAAUGCUAAGAUGUAUGUAUUUACGGGUUAUUAAUUAAUUUGAUCUGUGUAUGGCUACAAAUGAAUUAUUAAGAAAAACCAAAAGAAUUUGGGUUGAUUGAAAUGAAUCAAAAAUAGAUUGAAAAUUUAUGUAGGCUUUAGUUUGUAGUGAUUGGUUUUAACUUUUUUUUUAAAACUUCUCCUUUUUUUUUUUGUUUUGCGUGCAUGCAUGGACAUUUGUUGCAUAUAUGUACACCAAAUUAUAUCUCACUGUUCAAGUGUUCAUGCAAAAACGUGGGUGAUCUACACCAACAAUUAACGCCGAUCAAAAACUUGUUGAUCAGGAUCAGACGGUGGGAUUGUUCUUAUUAAUUUAUAGCAUGCACACAAUACAUUUAUACUGAUCUCGAAUAACUCGAUCCUUAUAUAACUUUUUUCUUUUUUUUUCCUUUUUUUUUAUCAAGAUAAAGUAAACUGAAACUUAUUAGAAGUUCAAACACCAUAUAUAUCAUAUAUAUAUAUAUAUCUAAUUUUGGAAGCAUGGUUCCAAUUGAACCAUAAGACGCCACGUGGCGCACUUACAUGAAAAGUUCUAAUGUGCCACGUGGCGCAUUUAUCAUAAUAUAUAUUUUUUAAACUUAUCAUAAUAUAUUUUUUAGUUCACAAAUAUUUUAUAUAUAUAUAUAUAUAUAUAUAUUAUCAUUAUCAUGCGCACUUAUCAUAAGCAUAACUACACGUACCAAAAAAUAACUGCACAGCAGUUUUUUUUUUCCUUAACCGUAUGACAGUUAUUUUUUUUUGUAAACUGCACAACAGUUAUUUUUUUUUUCUUAACCAAACAACAGUUAUUUUUUCCCUAAACCACACAACAGUUUUUUUUUCUUAACCGCACAACAGUUAUUUUUUUUUCCCUUUUUUCUUUGAUUGUGAGGNAUGCAAGCCAUUGCCGCCGUUGACGCUGCCCAAGCCAGCCCUGUGAAAAGAGAGAGAGAAUGAAUGAUAGGGAGAGAGAGAAGGGGGCUAAGAUAGAGAGGAGAAGGGAAGAGAGAGAGAGAGUAGGGGAGAGGAGGAGAGAGAGAGAAAGAGGGAGCUAGCUGGAUGAGGGAAAAGAUAGAGAGAGAGAGAGAGAGAGAGAGGAUGAUCUCUUGAUCAAACCCAGCUGUAACCAAAUAGGGUUCAACCCUGUUUAAUCAAAAAAAAAUCAUAUAUAUAUAUAAUUUUGGAAGCAUUGUUCCAAUUGAACCAUAUGAUGCCACGUGGCGCACUUACAAAAGAAGUUUCAAUGUGCCACGUGGCAUAUAUAUAUAUAUAUAUAUUAUAACCAACUAUUUUAAUUAAAUUAUUAUACAAAUAUUUAAGUAAUUAGAGGAAAUCAUAACCAACUAUUUUAAUUAAAUUAUUAUACUAAUAUUUAAGUAAUUAGAGGAAAUCAUAACCAACUAUUUUAAUUAAAUUAUUAUACAAAUAUUUAAGUAAUUAGAGAAAAUUAUAACCAUACAUACCAAAUUAAUUUAUAACUAUUUUAAUUAAAUUAUUAUACAAAUAUUUAAAUAAUUAGAAGAAAUCAUAACCAUACAUACCAAAUUAUUUAAAUAUUGUAAAAUUUGGUCUUCUUUUUUAUAUAUUUUUUUUAUAUAUAAUAGCUUUACUUAUUUUUAAAUAUUAAAAUAAUAUAAGUAAUAAUUUUUUUUUCCUUAACUGCACAAUAGUUAUUUUUUUUCUUAACUGCACAACAGUUAUUUUUUUUCCUUAACUGAACAACAGUUAUUUUUUUUUUCCCUUCUUUCUUUGAUUGAGGCCUAUUCAACUUUUUAUAGUUUUCUCUCUAUUUCUCUUUGGGGUUUAGGUUUCUAAUGAUCUCUCGCGCGUUUUACUUUUAACCAUUGCAGGAUGAUGCGAGCGGGGCGCGUCAUAGGAAAGAGACGGAGGCGGCGUGAAAAUUGCAUGUGUUUGUUUUAAUUUUAUUUAAGUUUUUGGAUUAUUUAUAUAUAUAUAUAUAUACAACUAUUUUAAUUAAAUUAUUAUACAAAUAUUUAAAUAAUUAGAAGAAAUCAUAACCAUACAUACCAAAUUAUUUUGAUAUUGUAAAAUUUGGUCUUCUUUUUUAUAUAUAUUUUUUUAUAUAUAAUAGCUUUACUUAUUUUUAAAUAUUAAAAUAAUAAAAGUAAUAAUUAUUUUUUUUUCCUUAACUGCACAAUAGUUAUUUUUUUUCUUAUUUUUGUUCCCUUCUUUCUUUGAUUGAGGGCUAUUCAACUUUUAUAGUUAAGUUACAAAUUUUUUUAUCUUAAAAUUAUAAUUUAUUGAUUUAUUACAAGAAAAUGCCAUUAUUUUCUCAAUGUUAUUAUUCAUAUGUAUGAUAGGUGGAGGCGGACUUAUUUUCCAUUUUUAUGCACAAUCUUUCUACAAAAUGUAAGUUUAUUUCAAAAUUCGAAAAUAAUUACGUUUAAUGAUUUGGUCUGUUUGUAAUGUAUAUAUUACCUUCUUUUUUUUUCAGGAUAUAUACCAGUCGCUUUGGACUUCGUCAUAGUAUUGAAAAUUUCGGAGCGCAUAAAUAUUUACCCCUAUCGCAAGAAAUACUUAAUAAUUACUUUUGGGAGGUAUGUUUGAUAUUUAUAUUUAAAUUUUUGAUUGAUUUGUUUAAAAUAAUCGAUAUACAUACAUGACUAAUUAUUCACAAUAAUAAUUAUUUUUUAGUUUAAAAGAAUCAUAAUAUGUAUCAUGCUUCCCAAGUUCUAAAAAAUUACUUUCCAAAUUUAGUCACUUAAAAUUCUUCAAAAAAUAAGUUUACAAAAUUAGUCAUAAAGAAUUUGAAAUAAGAUUAAUUAUAUAUAAAUAAUAAUUAUGUUAAAUUUCUAAUGGAUUUGAACCUUUUACUUCUUCAUUUUAAAAUCUUUUUAUUUUAAAUAAUUUACUUACAUUCUAUGAGUAUAUCAUGAUAGUAUUAUUUUAAUUUGAUUCAAUAAUUUUUCUAAUAAAAGCUUAAUAUGUAAAAAUUAAUAUAUAUUAUAUAAAGUGUCAUAUAAAAGAAUUAUUAGAAACUUAAUAUUAUAAAAUUAAGAAUUUGAAAUAAGAUUAAUUUUCUUCAUCAUUUCAAUAUUGAGUAUUAAAAAUAUAUUAACUAAUAAUUAUAUUAACUAAUGGAUAAACCUUUUACUUCUUCAUUUUAAAAUCUUUUUAUUUUAAUUAUUUACUUCAUUCUAUUAGUAUAUUCAUGAUAGUAUUAUUUUAAUUUGAUUCUAAUAUUUCUAUAAAAGCUUAAUAUGUAAAAAUUAAUUUAUAUUAUUUUAUGAUAAAAGUUGUCAUAAAAAGAUAUUAAAAAAACUUAAUAUGUAAAAAUUAAUAUUAUAUAUUAUAUAAAAGAUGUAAUUAAAAGAUAAAAUUAAAAUCCGUGCAUUGCACGGGUUAGUUGCUAGUUUAUAUUACUCCAAACAACGAGACAUAUACAUAUAUAAUAAAACGACCCAUAUUUAUUCUUAUAUGAUUAUAUAAAGUCAUGCUUGCUCCUUCGAGCACGCAACAUUUAGUUCUCCUCGUUCAACCUCAGUUUAUCCUGCAAUUAAUCAACCAAUUUAGGUAUUAGUAACUCAGGUUAAUAUAUAUGAUAAAUGAUAAACUUCAUUAGUGUAACCUUAAGAUUAUUUUGACCUUUAGGGUGCGUUUGGUUCGCACUAUCUUUUAAAGAUUUCCAGUAAUCCAAUGGGAAUAAAAAAAUAUGACGGUGUUUGGCUAAACGCACUAAGUAAUCUAGUUGGUAAUAUUGGAUUCACUUGGAAAUAAGAUUUACCCGAAAAUACUAAUCUCAUUCCCUUGAGGGAGGGUGGGUAUUCUCAUAUUAAUGGAUUGGGGUAAUCAUAAUAUGUCUAAUCUCUUUAUUUUUUCCUACCCGCCGGCUAAUCGAUAUUAUUUUUCGUUACACUCUAACCUUAUAUCUCUCUUUAAACUUAUUUUUCUCUCUAAAAUUCAACUUUUUUUCUCUCUCUACACUAAGCUUUCUCUCUCUCUCUUUCUAAAAUUUCAACUCUCCCACUCCCUCUAAUUUCGACUAUAUUUUUCGUUUUAUUUUUUUAAUUAUGCUCUCUCUCUCUAACUUAUACUCUCUCUCCUUUUUUUAUGUUGAAACUUUUUGUAACAUUAUCUAAAAUUAAUUAAAUAAAUAAAUUAAUUAAUUAUAUAUUUUUUGUAAUAUUAAAUAAUAUGACUAAUUAAUAUUACCGUGCGAACCAAACAUAGAAAUUUCACAUUCUUAGUAAUAGAAUGAAUAGAAAUAAGAUUCUCGAAUAUUUUUUAUGCCUAGUAAUUUUUCAUAAUACGAACCAAACGCACCCUUAAAUAGAGUAUAAUAUUGUUUGAUGUAGUGUCCGAUGUAGUGGUGCAAUAGGGUAAAUUAAACUUCAAUGGGCGCUCCUUAAUGAGCUCUGCUGAGGAGGACGUCAUAUAUUGUCUAUUCGAGUUCUCUUUUAAUCUGACGAUUAUAAAAUUAAGUUGCCAUGCAAAUUCUCGACUUUCAUGUUUACUAUAUCUUUUUCUAAAAAUGUUAGUUAAAAAUUGCUAGAUGUGACUCGAAAUUGAUAAUCGACUUCAGUUCGAUUGGAAUUUCGACUCGCCGACAGUUUCGUAGUGCGACCAAAUUGAAAAAUAAAAUUAUGAAGGAAAAAUGAAUGCCUGUGAUGGAUAGCGAAGCCACAGUAAAUAAAAGGAUAGUGAUGGUGACGCUAAGAUGAAAGUGGCUGGUGAUCAUAGUUUAUAUAUAACAAUUGAUGGUUAUGUAGGUUACGGUGCAAUGCAUGCAUGUUUUUCAUAGAUAGGUGGCUCUUUAUAUAUAAAAUCUGUGGGAAAGUGAAAAUAGGUAGGGAUUGGGUUAAUUGAUUGGCAAAACUAUUGGUUAUAAACCAGCAUAUUUGUACAUUGAUCUCUUACACCACAUUUAAUAUUUUAUAAUUAAUAAUUUAGUGUUAUCAUUUAAUUUGAUAGAUUCAAUUUAUAAUAUUUUUUAAAAAGAUCGUAUAAACAAAAAUAUAAGUGCUACGUAUUUAUUAACGACAUCUUAAGCGACCGCACGAGAACGAGUCUAUGAAGAGUUGUAAAUCAUAAAGUUAAUUACCUCGUCAGCGAGAAAGUCAAUAACAUAGCAAGGGAUAUUGCUUAAUUUAUUAAAAAAAUCAAGCGUUUAAGUUUAAUAAAUUUUAGUAUAUAAGAUCUACUAAUGCGAAAAAAGAAAAAUUCAAUAAUUUUAUAUCGUGAUUUAUAUGAUAAAAUUUUAGUUGUAACGUGCAUGUAAUUUUAUGCUAUGUUGAUUGAGGCCAGUGGACUAGGUGAAGAAGUACUACGGGUUGGGUAGUAGGUGGUUAAAAAUUUUAGGGUUAAUUUCAUACAAGUCUCUGCAAACAUAUUGAAUAGCAGAUAUAUUCCUGUAAAGUUCAACUUCUAUAAAUUAUUCUGCAAAAGCCCUAAUGUAUUCAUAUAUGUCCCUCUGGUUUGGAUCUGUUAGAGAAUUGUUAAUUUUUUAACAGUAGAGUUGUGAAAUGACUAUUUUAUCCUUGCCCCUUCAUCUUCCUCUUCCUCUUCAUGCUGCGUGAGCGGACAACGGCAGCGCCGACGGCGGCGGCGACGGCGACGGCGACUUCGACUUUGCGGAGCUUGUCGGGGUUGCGGCCAACGAGGACAAAGAAAAGGAGGAAGGCGAAGGCGCGCCGAUGCUGUCGGAGGCGCCCGUGAUGACGGCCCACGCGGGCACCACGACGGCGACGAUGAUCGGAUCAUUGACGGCGACGACGAUCGGAUCAUCGACGACGAUGAAAAAGAAGAAGAAGGAGGAGGAGAAAAGAAGAAGGAAAAUGAGGAUACGAAGAAGAAGAGGAAGAAGAAGAAGUAGGAGAGGAAGAGGAAGAAGAAGCAGAGGAAGAAGAAGAGGAAGCGGAAGAAGAAGAAGGGUAAAAAUAUCAUUUUCUCUUAUUAACUAACAACGGUUAAGUAUUUUUACUGUGUUUAACUAAAUUUUUCUAACGGGUAUUAACUUACGGAAGUUGAACUUUGUAGGGAUAUAUCUGCUAUUCAAUAUGUUUGCAGGAACCUUAAUGAAAUUAAUGCAAAAUUUUAUAUAUUUAUUUAUUUAUUUAUUUAUUGGAACAAGCUCUAAGCUACCGUUUGGUUUGGAGUUAAGGAAAAAUUAGUUAUUCCAGGGAUAGGGUUAAGUUUAGGGUUAAGGUGGGGUUAGAGUAUUUUUAUGUUUGGUUGGGGGUUGGAGUUAGUCCAGGAUAGUAAAAAAUAGUGUUUGGUUGGAGUAGGUGAGAUAAAAAGGAUAGUGGGUUAUUAUGAAUAGAAAAUAGUAUUUGGUUGGGGUUUGGUGGGGUUAGGUGAGGUUAGCUAACCUGGGAUAAUCCAUUUGAGGUGGAGUUAGCUAAUCCCACCCAUUUUUAGAAGUGUUUGGGGAUAAAAUGGGGGUUAAGGGGUUAUUCUGUGUGCCAAGUGUACGGUGGAUGCAAUUCCUUUUUUUUAAUAUUAAAAAAAAUCAUGUUUGGAUUCUUUGGAAGGCCCCAAUUAGAGAUUUAUGCCUGGAAAAUUUUAAUUUUUAAAUAUAUUUUUCCAAGAUUAAUGAUAUGUAAUAUAUAAAUUCAUCACAAUAGUUUACUAUUAUUGGUUGUCCAUUAAACUUAUUUACCAUUAUGCCNUAACUUAUUAAUUACAAUAUAUUUAUUUUAUGGUAGAUGUCAUUCCACUUGAACUAUAAAUUAUAAAUUGUAAAAACAUGUAAAAUCAUAUAUAUUUUUCCAAGAUUAAUGAUAUGUAAUAUAUAAAUUCAUCACAAUAGUUUACUAUUAUUGGUUGUCCAUUAAACUUAUUUACCAUUAUGCCCUUGUUAUUAAAAUAUAUAUGAUUUUACAUGUUUUUACAAUUUAUAAUUUAUAGUUCAAGUGGAAUGACAUCUACCAUAAAAUAAAUAUAUUGUAAUUAAUAAGUUAUUUUAAAUAUAAUUAAGAAUCAAGAAAUAUUUUUAAAGGUGCACUUCAUUUAACCUAUGGGCCUCCUUUUAAAUGGGCCUUGUCACAUACGGCCCAUAUAUUAACCCAUAAGCCCGUAAUCAUCUCCAUUCCCGGUUGGGUUAGCACUGGUCCACCGUGACCGGAAAUUUUAUUUUGCAAUUUAAAAAAAGAGUUAAUUUCAUAGAGUUACUUAUAAAUAUAAAAUAUAGUAAAUUUUAAAUAUAUUCUAUAAAAUUUAAUUUUUAUAUAUUAUUAAUAUAAAAAUUUUAAUAUUUUUAAAUAUAUCUUUCUGAUUUGUUAUCGUUAAAUUAUUAUUUAUUUUACAAGUGAAAUAAUAUCUUUGCAAUCACAAAUAUGCCCCUCUAAAAAUUCCAACGAUUAAUUAAAGAUGGGUAAAAAUAUUAAUUCACCUCAUUAACUAACUAGGGUUUAAUAUUUCACCAAUGAUUAACUAAUUUUUUGUAAUAGAUCAUAACGGCAGGAACAUAUUUGAAAAUAAUAGGAUUUUGCGAGAAUAAUAUAUGAAAGUAAAUUUUAUUAGAAUAUAUUUGUAAUAUUUAUUUUUAUUUAAUCUUAUUUAACUUUAAGAAAUUUUAUUUGAAUAUUUUUGUAAUUUAUUAUGUUUAUAUGGAUCGGGAUGAAAUUAAUCUUUUUAAAAAAAACCGUAAUGCCUUUCUAUAAUUGGAUGGUCUAUAGUGACGUGGUACACGCGGUCGAAUCAAAUUCUAUCAAAAUGUCUUAGUCAUUUCGCACACUCUAUCUCUCUUUCUCUUUUUAACACAAGAAGAAUAAAAUAAAAAAGAAAAAGAAAUAAAUAAAAAAGUGAGGGCUCGUCGCUCUUUCUCUCUCUCUCUCUGCGACGGCGCCUCCACCUCGUCGAACCCUUUCUCCACUCCCAAGAAGAAGAGAGGAGAGGAGAGGAGAGGAGAGGAGGAUCAACAAUGGCGGGGCGAGGUACGGCCAUGGAGGGAGUCUCCUUCUCCGACGACGUCGUCAUCAAGUCCCCCACCGACCGUAGAUCGUACCGGAUUCUCCGCCUCCCCAACGGACUCUGCGCCGUCCUCGUCCACGACCCCGAGAUCUACCCCGACGGCCAUGGCGGCGACGCCCUAGAGGGCGGGGGCGACGAGGGCGAAUUCGGAUCGGAGGAGGACGAGGACGAGGACGAGGAGGAGGAGGAGGAGGAGGAGGAGGAGGAGGAUGACGAAGAGGAUGGGGAGGAAGAGGAUGGUGAUGGCGAUGGAGACGCGGAUGGGGAUGGAGAUGGGAGUGAGAAGAAGAAGAAGAAGGGGGAUUCGCCCACUAAAAAGGUGAUAUGAUCUUUCUUGAGGUUGUACAUUUCUAGGUUUUGCUUCUGACGACUAGAUUCCUUACAUUGCUGUGGUAAGAAUUUUAGGGUUUUCCACACGAAUUUUGUGAUGGUUUAUAGAUGCAUUGUGGAGCUUAUUGUAUGAGUUGGAUGAAGCAUGUAGAGUUAUGGUUAGAAUUGCGGUCAGAAAAUUAAGAUUGUUGCUUGUGUUGUUUUCUUGGUUGUUUUUUUGAGAGAGAGAGGCCUCCCUUGCUGUGAUAAGAGUUUUAGGGAUUCAAGAACUUGCUCAGUUGGUCAUGCUACUUACUAUUUUGUUGCAUUGCACGCCCAACUAGGACUUGGUAAACCCUAUUAAUCUUUCUAUGAUGUUUGGUCAGUUCUUGACCAAAAUGUUUUGUUCUAAAUAUCUUUGUUUACAAAAAGAAAAAAAGAAGAAGAAAAACUAGAAGAACAAGAGAGGGAAUGAGGGAGCGAAAGCUCUCUCUCUCCCUCUCCCUCUCCCUCUCUCUCUCUCUCUGCAAGCUCCCCUUCGUCAGAUAGAAAACCAGAUAGAAAUUCGGCGAGAAGCUCCUUAUCAAUGAUUAAAUGAGGAAAUACUGGAUUUCAGUCCUCAUCUUCUUUCUGUUCUUUCACUCCACUUUUAUCUAGCUCAGAGGAGAAGUAAUACCGUUACGUAGAUUUCCUUAUUUCUUCUCAUUUACAGCUUUCUUUCAUUGGGUAUGUGAUACUAUGCAUGUUGCAUCUGGAAUGGCAGAUAUAGAAUGGAAAAGGAGUUAGAGUCGCCCAAAAUGAUCAAGGAGGAAUCUGAUUUUAGGUCAACAACGUCACUUUUUUAAUUUUGUUGGAGUACUUCAAGUUCCUGAUCACCAUUUAAAUAAAAGAAAGCUUCUUGUAGUGGAAUUCUGAAUUGUUGGAAGAUUUAAGCUUUCAGUUUAUAAUAUUUAAAGACCAUUUGAUUAACCAUUGCUGCAUCUUGGAAUUUCAAGAGCAAAAUCCAUUGAUUAAUCAUUAAUAAAUUUGAACUUUGGUAGACUCGGGAUAAUUCAAUUUGUAGAGGCCUUUAUUCACCCUGAGUUUUUAAAAUAGAUCCAGAUGAAUUCCGCUUUUGAGAACUUUGCACCAUCAUGGCUGGACAUGCUAAUUUUAGAGGCCGGACACUCUAAUUUUAGAAUAACACUAUUUUCUCUCAGUUGAUUCCUAGUUGUGUUUACUCCAACUUUAGUAAUUAGUAGUCAUAUGUUUUUUAUAAUUAUUAUUCUUCUUUUUUAUGCUUUGAUCAGAUUUUUAUCAUAUUUUACAGGCUGCUGCAGCGGUGUGUGUAGAAAUGGGUAGCUUCUCUGAUCCUUCAAAGGCUCAGGGUCUAGCCCACUUUCUAGGUCUGCUUAUCUGCCUUUUCUGUCGUCAUCUUUAAUUUUAGACCUAACACAGCGUAGCUGUAAACAUCCUGCUUAAUGUCUACCUUUUAAACCCUUAAGAUAACAAUAUGCAGUCUUGUAACUAACUGUUUGUGUGGUUUUAUUUGCUUUCUCUUUCUUAAGUUACUUGCACUUACAAAAUCUUUUUGGUUGAUACUAUGAUUUCUGUAUUUGUGCCAUUGAUUAGGAAUGCGAUAUUUCUAUUGCAUGCAAUUACUUUAGAAAAUUAAUCUGUGCUUAGUCUCAUCUUACGAAGUCAACAUUUUCUCUACUUUACACAUCCCAAUUUACAAACCAUAAACUUGUAAUUGACUCAUCGAUAUCUUUCAACACUUCAAGUAUAUACAUAAUCUUAUUGCCAAGCAUGCGCUCCGGUUCCUGAUAAUCAUGAUGCUCAAUAUUGUCAUCUGCUCAACUUGCCUCUCUUUAGGAAGGAUUGUUAAGCCUAUCUAUUAUCAACUAAUGCUGCUUGACUAGUUUUUGGAAUUAUUUGAAGAAGUUGCCUCGUGUUUGUUGCACAUAACGAAGUGGAUGUUGUAAUCAACACACUGUGAAGUGAGUUAAUCAGUACAUAUUCAAUCAAAUAUUUUGAGUUUCAUUUACUAAAUACCUUUGUGACACUUAAGGCACUAAUUUUUUUUUUUAAAUUUUUUUGCAGCGUGGGUUUUUUUUUUUUUGGGUGUGUGUGGUGGGUGGGUAGGUGUGUGCGUGCAUGCGUGUGCUUGUGCGUUAGGGCGAUAACUCUAAUUUUCCUCCCUAUUCUGCCAAGGUGCAUUGAGUAAUGCUGGAUAAUUAUGUUAAACUGUGUUAGUUUGGAAUAGUUUGGAAACUACUAUUCCACUCGACUUGUCAUUGUGCUAUCCUUCAGUUUAUCCGUACUUAUCUUCAUAGUCAUUACUCGUUAUUGUUAUUCUUAGGGAGACCAAAAAUGAAAUUGAGUUCCUUCUUGGUUAUCCUAGGAUAGCAGGAUAACAUAAGGAUAAAAAAAAUUAUCCUCUAGUCCUAUUACAGAAUCAAAUUCACCCAUAAAGCACAGAGUACAUUGCUGGGUAUGGUCAAACUCAUCUUUUGAUUAAGCCAGGAAGUCUCUUGUCGAGCAUUGGUGCCUACCAAAAUGAUAGAUCGACAUUUAUUUAGAUGAAGCCCUAUGCGUUAUUACCACUUUUUCUUAAAUGUAUACUUAAGGUGAUUCCAACUCCCUAUCCCUUACAUCAGAGGUUUUUUACACUUUGUAUUGAUUCUUUUGUUGUUUAGUGAACUCUUCAGAAGGGAAACCUCUAUCAUGUGAAUUACUUUGUAGUCUGAUUUCUUGAACUGAAACUAGAGUACUGGAUCACAUUUAGUGGUCUUGUGGAAAAUUUGUUCAAGGUAAAGUCUUCCUUGGAGCCUUCUAAAAUUUGAAUUGAAAUCUAGUUGGACCCAUAUCACGAGGGUAGUGCUUGAGUGAUGAUGACACUGAAUGUGGGCUUGAGUGAUGAUGACGCUAAAUAUGAACUUGAGUGACGACGACACUAAAUGUCAAAUAACUCCACCAAUUACCUACCCAUAUACAUUCACAUAUUAAUAAACUUAACAGCAUUUAAGUGAUGUGUGCAGGUGAACUCUGCAUUCCUUAGUCAGUACUCUAUAUGAAACUUUAUACAAUAGAAAAUCAACUUUGGUUUGUGUAUGCUCUUUCGCAAAGAAUGUAAUACAGAAAAAAUUUCUGGAUCUCUCUGAGCAUAUUGAAGACGGGCAGUAGUCCUUUCACUUAGUAUGUUGCUGAUUGAUUGUUGCUGAUUGAUUAUGUUGUAUUUUGAAAGAGCUACAUACUAACUUCUUUUCAAAAAACUCAAGAAAUAAAGAAGGUGUAAUGUUGUCUUUUAGCUGCAUGGCAUUGUAGAUAUAGAUUAUGAUUCUUUAUCUUGUCCUAGUAAGCCAAUUAUUUGCUGGUUGAUUCCUUUCAUUUGUAUCAUUAUUGGAGUUCAUUUUGACUAGCGAGUAUCGGAAGUUGCAAAAAUGGUCAUCUUUAUCCUGUUAGUUCUUUUAUACUAGGUUCUUUUAUACUAGUUCUAUGUAUCUUUAUCUGAAUUGGAGCUCAUAUUUUGCAGAAUAUAUGCUCUUUAUACUGGUAGUUCUUAUAUAUUUCUCUGAAUUGGAGCUCAUAUUUUGCAGAACAUAUGCUUUUUAUGGGGAGUUCUGAGUAUCCUGAUGAAAAUGAGGUUUGUGACCUUCAUUUCAAGUUAUGCAGUUUUUGACCAAGUAAAUUAGAGAAAUCUGCUGCAGAUAACUUUUGUAUGCAGCUAACUCAGUAACUCAGUUGAAUGGUACUGCUCAGCUACUAAAUUCUUUACUUACAUUAUCUAUCCAGCCGUUGGCCAAAAAAAAAAAAAAAUCAAAAGACAAACAAAUCGACUCUUUCUAAAAAAAAAAAAAAAAAAAAAUCAACGAAAGACAAACAAAUCGACUCUUUGUUCUAUAUGUCAGGCAAUACGUUCACUCGUGGAAUAAAUGCCAUUAUAGCAGUAUACUCUUUGAAGGAUCAUAACAUAACAAGGAGUUCUUUUGGUUCAUUCAUUGCUAGCUUAAUAUGCUUUCACCCAAAUUAUAGUGAAAAGAUGUUACUAAGGGUGUAAUGUGGGCCCUUGUCGAAUCAACGGAGAUUCGCCUUGGCCGAACUAGGGAAGGCCUAAUAUGGCCUACUCUCUCAUGCUGCACAGGGUCAGAUUUCCUAGAAAGACAGCCCAGCACGACCCACCGUCCUAGAAAGUACAAGUGCCAUGUUGGAUGUUGAGUAUACCAUUCUAUGACAAUUUAAGGUUUUGGAGAACAACGGUUGUUUCACGUUAUUUAACUUAGUAUAAGAGCAGGAGCCCCUAAGUUUGAAUCCUAUGAGGCCUUUUAGUCUCAUUUAAUGUCUCCACGUAUUGGGCCUAUCUAAAAAACUCAUACCUAGAAGUGGGGGUGUUGAGUAUAAAAUAUAAAAAACACCUUUCUCUGAUAGUUUAAAUUUUUAGAGAACAAUGAAUGUUUCGUGUUAUUUAGGCCGAGCCCUGUGCCGGCCCUUUAUAUAUGUAUAUAUGUUUUAUCUUUUUAUGUCUUGUAAAUCUUAUAAAAUUAAAAAUAAACAAAAUGACCAAAAUAUUCCCCAGCAAUUAGGAUUUUCUAACUGUUGGAAGGGCAUUUUAGUCCAAAAGUUUUUAAAAAAAUUUCUUGGGGUUGGCCUGGCUUAGGCUCCCAAGGGAACUUGGUUUGGUCCAAAGUUGGACCCAGUCUUUAGGGAGUUGCUCCCAGGUCCAAGAGGGAGAGGAGGCCAACUUUUUUCUUUUUUUAUUUUAAAAUAUUUUAAAAUUCUUUAUUUUAUUUUUAAAAUUUUGUUAAUAUUAGUAUGUUUUAAAAUCAAAAUUUGAAUAACUCGAAUUAUAUCUAUAAAAAGAAGAAAAUUAUAAAGUAUAAAAAGUAAAAAAAUAAGCGCCGGGCCGGACUGGGCUGGUCCUGUAGGCAUGGCCUAUAUGGGCUAUGCUACCUCAUGCACGGGCCGGCUCAUUUUGUGCCACAGGCCUGCUGGGCGCAGCCCAGCACACUCCAAGGCAGUGCCAGGCCGAGCCAGCUUGCGGGCCGACUGCCCUGUUUGACCCCCUAGAUGUUACUCAACUAGUAACAUUUUUGAAGGGUCACAAGUUCUAUCUUGUUAUACACGAUAUAAGAUUAUUUGCUACAAAAGGUGUUUACAGGAAGGUUAUGAAAAAUGAGAGAAGUUGAUUAGUAUUAGCUUGUUGUUUUACUCUAUUAAUAUCAUUGUUUUUAUUUAUUUUAGAAAGGUUUAGUUUGUGAUAUUAAAUUAUAAAUCUUUUGGCUGUAAUAUACUAGAAGGAAAGGGCAUUCUGGCAAAUAUCCUUCAAUUAGGUUAAGCAGAGAAAAUGUCGUUGGAUGUUGGUUUGGUUCACUUCGAUGAUUUAUUAAUUUGUAGCUGAUGAUGGUAAUUUUAGCUAAUAUAGUUUUUCAAAGUCCAUUUACAUCCUAUUUUUACCUUUUCUUUUGUUAGUAUGAUAGUUACUUGUCCAAGCAUGGUGGCUCGACAAAUGCUUACACCGAAACCGAGUACACUUGCUACCAUUUUGAAGUUAACCGGGAGUAUCUCAAGGGGGCCUUGAAAAGGUAACUUUAUAUGUCGGAAUGCAUGGACGCAUUACAUGUGUGUAAUAGCUGAUAAACUUUGUGAGUAUUAUGACAGCAGCUCCUUCUGCAGAAGGUUUAGCUUAAAAAUCUUAUUAUUAUUGACAGAUUGUUGAUUAAUUUCGUUCUUAACAGGUUCUCGCAGUUCUUUAUAUCACCACUUAUGAAGGCUGAAGCUAUGGAACGUGAGGUUUUAGCAGUUGACUCAGGUUGGAUUUUUGUUUACUGAAGUUUGUGACGUUAACCUUUUGGUUUCUUGCCCCUAAGAUCUUUUUAUUUAACUUAUAUGUGAUUUAUGUGUGAUAAUCGGUCUUAUUAAGAUGGAUCUCUCCUGUAGAGUUCAACCAGGUACUUCAAAGUGAUAGUUGUCGUCUUCUGCAACUUCAUUGUCACACAUCUUCUGCUGGGCACCCUUUUAACCGAUUUUUCUGGGGUAUGAUUUCCAACACUUUUGUUAUUAGUCUGCUUGUUAUUAUUAUGACUAGAUUUUAUUGUUCUUUCUUUUUUCUAUUUGCGCAGGUAAUAAGAAAAGCUUACUUGAUGCUAUGGAAAGUGGUGUCAAUCUGAGAGAAGAAAUCUUGCGAAUGUACAGGGAUAAUUAUCAUGGAGGAAGGAUGAAGUUGGUUGUCAUUGGUGGAGGUAUGGUUAUUGCAUGUUUGGGUGAUAACAUGCUUUAUUUUGUGAAAUUAUUACAAGUAAUUGUAUGUGAUUUAUGAAAAGCUAUGCAUUUUCUGAAAAAUAUUACAAUCCUGGGCGUGCAUGUCUGUGUACGUAUGUGUAUGCAUGCGCCUAUGUGUAUGUAUAUUUGUGCAUCUGCCUGUGUUUGUACGAGUGUGCGUGCAUGUGUACAUCGGUGUGCGUAUGCCCGUCUGUUCCUGUGUGUUUGCCUUUGUAUGCUUGUGAGCGUGCAUAUAACAUGCUUUAUUUUAUGAAAUGGUAAAUGAUUACUGCACAUUUAUGCUUUUUGUCAAAGAUAUUAUGUUCCUGAGUGAUUUAUAUUGCCAAAUCGUAUUUUUUCAGAGUCACUUGAUGUACUGGAAGAUUGGGUGGUGGAGCUUUUCGGCAAAGUUAAAGCUGGUCCGCCAUUAAAAAUGAGUUGGAAGAUUGAUAUGCCUGCCUGGAAAGCUGGAAAGUUAUACAAGUUAGAGGCUGUUAAGGAUGUCCACAUCCUUGACUUAACAUGGACAUUGCCUUGUCUGCAUAGAGAAUAUCUAAAGAAGCCGGAGGAUUACUUAGCUCAUUUAAUGGGCCAUGGUAAAGCAUCCAAUCCCCUUGCAAAAAUAUUAUUUUCAAGAUGUAUCUAGAUCUGUUGUUUCUAGAUACAAAAAUGAUAUGACGUCACAUGGUGUGUCUGCUCUUUCUUAGAUGUAUGUGGUGGCAACUCUUUACAUUUCAAUAGUCUUUUUUUAUUUCUAUUGAAGUUUUAACUCUUGAUUGAUAUUGCUUUGCUUGUUACUUUUGUACUUGAGUUAUCGAGUUUUUAACCUGCCUUAUCGAAGCCGUUUAGUUGUUUAGUUGUUGUAGAAAUUUUAAAGAUCUAUAUAACGUGCACCAUAAGAUCAGUGUUCGCCCUGUAGUGUGCAAUAACCUGCACUCCACGAAUGCAAUGAAAGUCGUAUUACAUUCUAUUAAUAGGCUAAUGUUGAGUUGCAUAUUGCCCAGAACUUUGUCAGAAGAAACUUACGUUUUCAGUACAACAAGUUAGCCAGCAAAUGGGUUUGUCAUAAGAGCAUAUUACGAUCAUGCUGCUAACAUAAGACCAAUUAAUCUGAAGUCGUAAAACAAUGGCUGGUUAGAGUAAUUGCUAAAUAAUACUUUGUCAAUGUUUAUUUUAACUAUAAAACUUGUUUUUGCAUAAUUGCAUCACUUAUUUUUCUGAUUAUCAUGGAAUGAGUUGAUUGAUCUUACUGUAUCCAAUCUUUUACGAAAACAUUUUUGAAAUCCUUUAGCAACUAGUAUUCUUGGAAUAGGACUGCAUCUUAACAAUUCAAUUGUGAGCACAACAUGUCUUACCUAGUCAUAUUUUGAUUGACUUAGUUUUUCUUAAUGAUCCUAAAUUCCUAAUGUAUCAAAGGGUCUAUGUUGCGGGAUGUUGAUCAUUCUGACAAAAUAAUUGGCAUACCUUCUUUCUCCAGUGUUCUUCAUGUGAUAUUUGUUUUGUAACUUGUUUUUCCUGAAAUACUGUAUAUAAAUCAUAUUUUUAUUUUUAUGGUUCAGCAUAUAGUUACAAUUCACGGUCUCUAAGUCUUGCAGAAGUUGUACUAAAAUGUUGUAACUGUGCAGCUCCUCAGAUUAUUUCUUUUCUCAUCGUAGACUUGAUAAAUGCCGUAUCUAUUAUGUCCAUUAUCAAAGCCUUCUAAUGUCAUGUGCAUAUGAACUGAAAACUUGUAGUUAUAUUUCAGAGGGAAAGGGCAGUUUGCUUUAUUUUCUGAAAGCUAAAGGAUGGGCAACAUCAUUAUCUGCUGGAGUUGGUGAUGAAGGAAUGCGCCGGUCUUCCAUUGCUUACGUAUUUGUGAUGUCUAUUAACCUAACUGAUUCUGGAUUAGAUAAGGUGUGUAUGUUCAUUUCUGUAACUUUGUUGUGCAGCGUGCACAAUGAACCUGCUUGAAGAUUUCCAUCUGCCCUCCACAUAAUUUGCACCUUGACUUGUAUAGAAAAGCAUGAACUUCCACUGUGAGCUGUAGUUGAUCUUUUAUGUUUCUAUUGUUAUUGAAACUCAUUAGCUUGUGGUCUGUAAUGUGUUUUCAUCCUACAUUGGCAAACUAAUUGUUUUUCCACCUAUGGAUAAUUUAACUUAAAAUGCUUUCUUCAGAAUGUAACUCUAUUGCCUAGUUAGCUGCAAUAAUGCCUCUUAAAUUUUCCUUAUCUUUUCUUGUUGUGAUUAUUGUAACGACCAAGCCUACUAGUACUAGUAACUUAUUGGGCCCAAACCACCAAUACAAAAUGCUUAAGCCCAAUUAUUAGUAUUAGGGUGCUUAAUCCUUACAUAACCUAAUGCAGUCCCUUUUCUAUCCAUGGGAUUAUUGGGGUGUUAUAUAUAUCUCCUUUUUUUGUUUGUUUGAAGAAUAGCUGUAAUUAUCUCUAUGAUAGAACCUGGACUGCAAAGACACACAAAGGUCAAGAACUGAACUGCCUUGAGAAUUGCAAACAAUGCGUUUUUAAUAUAAUUUAUAUGCUAAGAUAUGCUAUUCCAUUUGUUAUCUGUCACAUGUAAAGCAGUUUUAGGUACUAGAUGCUAUAAUUUUGUUUAUAAAAAGGACGCUUUGUGAUCUCUAAUUUCUCAAGUCAAACUAAAUGCCAUGCUUUUGUGGGAGGGUGCUAGAAUCAGUCUUAGUAUCCUCGUUCCCUUUCGGAACACCGACUUGUUGGUCAACAACUGGCAUCAUCUGAAGUGGCUUUUCUUAUCAACUAGGACAGAAAAAUAAUAGAUAAUAGAAGUAAUCACAAAUUAUUGAUAAAGAUCAAUAAUUCCACAUAAAUUCAGGCUGUGAUAUUGGUAUGCUAUUCUAGGUGAAGUAAUAUUAAAGGACCAUGGGAAAGUCAUAUUCAGAUAACGAAGCUUGCGUUGUACGUGUUCUCAGUUAGUCAUUGUUAACUUGUAGUUUAAUCUACGGCCGCAUCUUCUAUUAUCCCUGGCGUUAACUUCAUUCACCUGUUUUGCAUUAUGCUUAUUAUUUUGACACCUACUUUCUUUCUACAUCCCUCUUGUCAUGUUAACAAUCAUGAUCAGUUUUUAGGUUAGAAAUAAUCUUGUAUUAGUAGAAAUCUCUGAAAUGCUGCAUCCGAAUUGACAAACAUAGAAUUGUAUAUUAAUGGCUUAUAUAGCUACAUCUAUUUAUACAGACCUUUCUAAUAACAUGAUUUGGCAGCUAUAUGAGGUUAUUGGUGCCGUACAUCAGUACAUCAAGUUAUUGCGGCAAUCUAAACCACAAGAAUGGAUAUUUAAGGAGCUCCAAGAUAUUGGAAAUAUGGAAUUCAGAUUUGCUGAAGAGCAACCCCAAGAUGAGUAUGCAGCAGAACUUGCAGGUUCUUUCGAUGUUCUUGUAUUGUUCUUAUGAUACCCAUGUGCCUGUCAUGACAAGCUGCCGUAGAUGCAUAUACAUGAAUAUAGGAUAUAGACAUGGCACUCCACACAUAAGCCAACUUUACAUGUAAUAAUAAGAAUGUGAUACACUAAGCCCCGUUUGGAUUGGGGAUAAGGGGUGGAAUCAAGGAUUUAAGUGCCGUGGCAUGGGAUUGUGCCGGAAAUUUGCCGGAACGGUACGGCACGGUGCGUGCCGGGCCGUGCCGAUGCGUGUCUGUCAAAAAAAAAUGUGUGCCGACACGUAAUGGCAUGAAAUAUUUAUUUUCUUUAGCAACAAAAUAUGCUAAUUAUUAUGUAUUUUUAUCAAAUCUUUUGAACUUUGUUAAGAAAAUUACUUACUAAUUUCAAGAAUAGAGUGUUUUAAGUUGUGCCAUUGGCACGGGGGCUGUAUCGUACCGAUAUCCUGCUGGCACGAUGCAGCACGGUGGAUAUGGCUCGUGCCUAUGGGUACUUUAAUUCUUGGGUGGAAUAACCCCUUAUCCCCCCCCCUUUAUAUCCAAACGCUAAUUUUUUACCAGAGAAUAGUAGUUCUCGGGUACUUGAAAUAAGCUGGUAUAACUAUCCCCAUCAACACCUAUAUUUUCUAUAUAUAACUACCCACUAUUUUUCUUAUUCCAUAUUAUCUAUCCAAACGCUAUUUUUCUUAUCCCCGAAAACAAUCCAAUUUUCAUCCAAACGCUAUUUUUCUUAUCCCCAUACUUGUAUCUAUCCCUGUAAUAGCUAGUUCUUGCUUAUACCCGAACCAAACGGUGCCUUAUAAGGAUAUGGCCAUGGAUAUACGAAAAUAUGUUGUUUAUAUGAGUGAUAUAGAUGUAAUAUAGAGAGAAAUAUACAUACAUAUAUGGCAGCAUAUGUCCAUAUAUCUAAACAAAUUUAUUAUUUCUAUUUGCUUGUAAAAAUUAUUUGAGAAAUUGGUUUUGCAAUCUAUAUUAGUCUUAGCCAAGCGAAAAAUCUCCAAUUUAUGCUGGAUUAAAGAAUUAUAUAGUUGUUAUAAAUGACUUCAUUUAACAUUAUCCUUUGAAGGCAUUCAUCAUUGAUGAAUAUUUUAGCCCGCUCCAAGAAAAAUCUUAGAAGUAUCCUAAAAGUAGUCCUGGCUAUAUAAACUCAUUUAACUUUAUUUUAAAAAACAUAUGGGUAAAGGAAGUCUCCUAAUUUGUGCCCAUGAAGUAUGUGAUAAGUGUCAUACUGCCAUGUCCAGUCUUUUAUACAAUAUGGAGAUGCUUGGUCCUUGGGCUAUUUAAAAUGGUAGGACAUCAUAGGCUACCGUGGUGCUGUAAUACAAGCCUGUUAUUCUAGCUGUUUGAAUUUGAUGUUGUUAUGUUUGAUGUUAGCAGAGCACUUUGUUCAAAUAAUUCUGUUACUUGCUGGUCAAUCUUGUGCAAAUUAGUUCUGGUUUUUACGAAAUGUUAGACCUUUGACUCUGGAAAGGAAUAAAAACGGCUUUCUUUUGUCUACGUAAUUUGCUAUUCAUCGUUGACAUCAUCGUUAGGUGCUCAAUUUUGUUCAAUGUCUAACAUUAAAAAUAUUUCUCAUUUAUCUUUGACUCGGGGCAAUUUGAACUUUGAAGUUCUACAAUUUCUACAUCCUUUGUUCAUCCAAUCAUUUACCUGUGUAUCUGUGUUUUCGGACUAAUUGAAGCUUUUGCUACAGAGAAUUUGCUAUAUUAUUCUGAAGAACACAUCAUCUAUGGAGAAUAUGCUUUUGAACAGUGGGAUCCAGCAUUGGUCGAGUUUGUUUUGAGCUUUUUCUCCCCUGAAAACAUGAGGAUUGACUUACGCACUAAGUCGUUUGAUAAGCAUUCUGAAGGUAAUUUAUGCUUCCUGUUAUCGUUUGACUGAUUGAUGUUAGUACUAUGUACAUCACACCAAAUAUCGUAGCUCUUUUUCUCUAUAGGUUUUGUUUAUUGUGUCUAUCGCUCUUUGGGAGCUUUAGAUAUUGGGAAGGCAUGCUCACGCAUCUUCUUUUAUUUAUGGCCCAUUUGUUAUGGGUUUGACAUUGCAGGCUCUGGCAUGCCCUGGGCCCAUCUGCAGCUCUACUUCCUUCUCUUUCAAUGUUCAGGCCUCAAACAUGAUUUUAUUUAUACAAAAUGUGCUGGUAGAUCAGGAAGGAGGAAGAAUUAAUAGAUUUCAAUAUACUUCAUUCUUUAAGCUUCUGUUUAUUUACAACCUAACGAGAUAAAUAAUCGAAGUGUUUAAAUCUGAACAGCUUUCUUGCGACUAUCUUAACCUUCUGUCUCUGUUAUCAAACGGUCUGUAUUCUGGAAUAUUAUUAUAUCAAUUUUGUUUUCAAAUGCAGCAAUUCAAUAUGAGCCAUGGUUUGGUUCACGCUACAUCGAAGAAGACAUUCAGCCAUCCCUUUUUGAGAGCUGGCGAGAUCCUCCUGAAAUAGAUCCAUCUUUGCAUUUACCUCUGAAGAAUGAGUUUAUUCCCUCUGACUUUUCUCUCCGGAGUGUUAACGUGUCAAAAAACAUUAGUAGCAAUGAUCCUAAAUGCCUUGUGGAACAGCCAUUAAUGAAGUUCUGGUAUAAGAUUGACUUGACAUUCAAUGUGCCUCGUGCGAAUACAUACUUCCUGAUAACUGUGAAGGAUGGAUAUAGCAGUGUGAAGAAUUCUGUCUUAACUGAGCUCUUUGUGAAUCUUCUUAAAGAUGAGCUAAAUGAAAUUUUGUAUCAGGUACUACAUUGUGGUUAUGCAUGCUUGAAUCUUCUGUUUUCUAAUCAUGUAGAGUUAAUAUAUAUUUUUUUAAAAAGGACUUGAAUAGAUUUCAUCUAAUUCCGGUGUAUCUCUUACGUUUAUCUUAUCGAGGAAGUUUUGAUGCAGUUUGCACAUCAUCAUACUAGCAAAUUGUUUGUUUUUCAUCUAAUUUUUAUUGAUUCACUGAAGGAAUGCAUAUUUAGUACUUCCGCCAUCUUCUUCAUAGUUUAGCAUUUUCAUGUGUAGUGCCAUUUCUUUGUUCUGAUAAUUUUUUUUUUAUCCUUUUGUUUUCCUACAUUCAGGCUGAAGUGGCUAAGCUGGAGACAUCUUUGUCAAUUGUUGGUGACAAACUCGAGCUAAAACUUUAUGGUUUCAAUGACAAACUGCCCGUUUUGCUAUCAAAAAUACUGGAAUUGUCGAAAUCCUUCUCCCCAAGAAUUGAUAGAUUUAAGGUAAUUUAUAUCAGAAUUUUCAUUUGAUUUUCCGUUAUUUCUUCAAAAAACAGAAAUGACAUAGAGGCUUACUAUUCUUGCUUUUCCUUUUGAUGAGGAUAUCAGAUUUGCUUUAGUUGUUUAUAUUGUUGAAUAGUUAUCUGAGAGAGGGAUUAGAGUUAAACAUUUAGCCAUGGUGAAACAAAUAGGAACUUAAUAAGUUCUUUUUUUUUUUUUUAUCUGUUUGAGCAUCUUUUAGAAUGCUAAGAUUUGUUAUUCUCAAAUAGAAAUCUCAUGUUUAUCUAGUAUGAUGUAUAUAUUGUUUUAGAACUGUUUUAUUUGGAACCUUUAACAGGUUAUCAAAGAGGAUAUGGAGAGAGCGUACAGAAACACAAACAUGAAGCCUUUGAGUCAUUCUACCUAUUUGAGGCUGCAAAUACUGCGUCAGGUUUUCUGGGAUGUAGAUGAGAAACUGGCCACUCUGUUAAAACUAACCCUUUCGGACUUACAGGCUUUUAUUCCUAACCUUCUUUCUCAGGUAACUGAAGAAUAGUCCCACUGCUCUUUUUAAUCAUACUAUUUCUGUGCGGAAAUGCCCUAAAUAUUGGUUAGUAGUUUUUUUCCCUUGUAAAUCUUCCUGUUAUGUGUGCCUGUUUCAGCUACACUUUGAGGGCCUUUGCCAUGGGAAUCUGUCUGAAGAGGAGGCCAUCAACGUAGCAGAUGCCUUUACAAAAAUAUUUUCAGUACAAACUCUGCCGGUGGAGUUGAGACAUCAAGAGCAUGUCUUGUGUCUGCCAUCUGGCGCGCGCCUCCUUAGAAGCGUAAAUGUGAAGAAUACGCUUGAAGUGAAUUCUGUGGUUGAGCUUUAUUUUCAAAUUGAACAGGACAUAGGUACAGAGGCAACUAGAUUGAGAGCUAUCACAGAUCUUUUUGGCAGUAUUAUCGAAGAACCAUGUUUUGAUCAGCUAAGGUAUACCCUGCUGUAAUAUAUUCCCUCCUUUUAUUUGGCUUGCAAAUAUUAGAUGGACUUACGAGGCUGCCUUACGACAUUUAAUAGUCAAAUAAUACUCUUCUUUCUCAAUUGUAGGACAAAGGAGCAGCUUGGAUAUGUUGUUGAAUGUGGCCCACGAAUGACAUACCGUGUGCUAGGGUUUUGCUUUCGUGUGCAGUCGUCGAAGUAUGGCCCUUUUUAUUUGCAAGAAAGGAUUGAGAACUUCGUCAACUCCAUACAAGGGUUACUGGUAUGCUCGUAGCCAUGUACAUGCUGGAAUUGUUCUCUAGUAGAUAGGGAGUGCUUCUAGUUUCUAUUAGUGAUUAUGCUAGGAGGAUUGGAUAUGUAGGGUAAAUGUUUAACCAACUUUGAGAAGGUAAUUUGAGAAAGAAAAACUGCCAACUGAACAUAUAUGGUAUAAAAAUGCUGCUGUGCCUGGAUAUCUUAUCUGUCUCUCCAGGAAAAUGAAUAUCUCCAGAAGCACCAAAGUCACUUAUCUUGGAUGCUUGGCUAUCUUUAUCACCAUUCCUUCCCUUGUCUACUUCAAUGCAAUUGAUUUUAUUAAUGUCUCUAAUUACCAAUCACCAAACUUUAUUUGGUGAAAUGUUUCUAUCAGCUUAUAAUCUUCUUUCUUUCCAAUUAAGGCCUUUUGAGAAGAAAAUAUUCAUUCGAUCCUUUCCUCACCAUCUUCUAAGUUGUGUCUGAUCUUCUUGAUCUUCUGAACUCAUUACACCCUUUCGUAACCUUAUUGAAGCGAAGUACCGCGCCAUCUUUUAUAUUCUUACCUUAUCUGAUAAUUCUUGUCCUGGAUUUCCUACUUUUAAGUACAAGUCAUAAAAAUGUGUUAAUUAUCAUUGGUUAAUAUCUCUGUUUUUAUUCCUAACAUUGCUACUACGCAACUGGUUGCACCAGGGGCCUAAUCAGAAGUACCAUCAAUCUAACUAAAACCUGUAUGUUUGGGGUAGUAACCAUCAUCUGAAAAGUACAACAAUGUCAUCCAUUCAUUUCAUCAGGUUCUUUUGUAUACUUUGCUAUCUUGUCCAUAUUUUAACUAGUCACAAGAAGCAUAAAUGGGGUAUAGAUGUGUGUGACCCCCUCUUGUCACGUAUUCUUUUAUCUCCCUUUGUAUCCUAUCUAUGUUUUUGAAAUAUUAGUUCCAGAAACAAUACUGUGUUACAAAAAUGGUGCUGAUUACUUUGUAUUGAUAUACUACCUUAAACCGGUACCUAUUUCUGAUCACUCGUUCUUCUCUCCCUCCAAAAGUACAUGGAUCCUUUAUAAAUGUAAAUGAUGUUCAUAUGUGGAGUUUAUCAUAUGAAACCUGAUUUAUAUUACAUUAUCUCAGGACGGCCUUGAUGAUGAAUCUUAUGAGAACCACAGAAGUGGGUUGAUAGCUGAGAAACUCGAAAAGGACCCAUCACUUUCAUAUGAAACCGGUCAUCAUUGGAGUCAAAUAGUGGAAAAGAGGUACUCAAUUCUCUCUGCGAAUUCAUUAAGCUUAUUGGUGUUGAGCUAUGCUGCAAUAAAUUACCGGCAUUUUCUCAUGCAUGUCAUUUAAGACUGUUUGCUGUACCAUGUGCUUGUGCUGGACCUGGCAUUGUAGAUGUGAGAGGCACUUUUGAACCAUUUUAUAGGGACAAAAUUUAAACUAAUGCUGCUUCGUAAGACCACAAUUACGCUGCUUACCUGCAAACCCAAAAAGAUUUAAACUAUAAACUAAUUAGGUGAUUGGAGCAAAGCACGAAUGCAGUCGUCUUUCUUAGUCAGCAUCAAGUUACAUUAUUCUGUAGAAUAGUAUAGCCGCGCGCUAGCCACAAGCUCUCUUUGGGCGCAAAUGAAUUUCACAAGGGCUUAUGAAUUGUAGCUGCAUUAAAUAUUUACAUUUAUAAACUAGAACUCUUUUCCCUAUUGUAGUCUCUGAACAAGAAUUCAAUCUUUUGUCCUGCAGAUAUCUAUUCAACAUGUUGAAAUUAGAAGCAGAGGAGCUCAGAACAAUUCAAAAGAGCGAUGUUAUCAGCUGGUACAACACAUAUAUAAAACUGACAUCGCCAAAAUGUAGGCAACUUGCUAUUCAUCUGUGGGGCUCCAAUACCGAUAUCAACGAGUCGACCAAGAUGCAAGAGAAAUCUUGGAAGGUCGUCGAAGACAUCCAUUCCUUCAAAAUUUCAUCAGGCUACUACUCAAGCCUGUGCUGAAGCAAUUUGCAGGUUAGUCGUUGGUGUGAUUCAGUAACUUUUAAGAAUCACUGAUUUAAUUAUUCUCGUAACAAUUACGCUGUUUUUCCAAAGCAAAGAAGAAUCAGGAGCAUUCAUUUAUUACUAUAAAUACGUAGGUUUGUAAACCAUUAUUCUUUUUAUUUUUCCAUGUAUACCGUUAUUUCGGUGGUACAAUAAAGUGAUUUUUUUUUUUUUUUUUUGGGGCUUGUGCUCUCUUAUGUCUCGUUUAUCUAUGUAGUGAGCAUUUUUUUUUUAAAAAAAAAAAAACCUCGAAGAUUUCAACCACUUGAAUAAUUCUUGUACGAGUUUGCGUCCGGACCGACAACAUAAUAUACUGAAUGCUGUGACACCUGAACGGCAAUGUUUCUGUUGCUUCGCCAUCGGAAAUAAUAUAUUUCUUGUACGAGCGCAUCUUGUUAAUAUGUCAAUGUUUUCUGGGGCCCAUGGAAUCCUAGGCAUAUGAAGCUUUCUCUUUUUCUUUUUUAUUUUCCUCGUGUUUUGGUAAUUUGAUUGAAUCUUUUUUUGCAGAUUUUUUGGUUUUUUUUAGCUUGAGAUUGGAAUUGGUGGGCGAAUUGAUUGUAACAGCGUCGAGUUUGGUGCAGUAUUUAAGGUUUGGUACGCAUGUGGUCCGUCCUAAAGCACGUGCAUGAUUCUAUUCUGCAGGAAUUUUCUAAAGCCGUACGUGUGUAUAUUCGUAUAUUCGAUAUUCGACAUAACGCACAUAGUUCAAUGUAAAUAAUAAUUGGCUUAAUUGGUAUAGGUGUAUGUAAUGUAACUCGGGAUUGCGUAAAGAGUAUGGUAGGCCCACGCAUAAAUCUACGAAACGCUUACGGCGUUUCUUUCCCGGGAAAAGAAAAAAAGGAAAAAUAAAAAUAAAAAUCUAUGAGAGCUUUCCUGAUGUAGCGCACCAACUAGAUUCUCCAGAUUCGUGCUUCUAUUUUUUUGGUGCUUAAAAUCGUAUGUUAGUUCUGUUUUCAGCAGAAGAAGUUUGUGAAUAUUUUAUUUUAUAGGGAAGCAGAUAUGUUUUACGAUCUAACUUUUUCUACUAGUGUUAUAAAAUGGCGAUAAAACUUUUCUGCUAGACUGACCGUCUCUAGCACAAGUGGUAAAGAGCUUAAUGGUCGGUGUUUUGGUCUAAAAUUUGAAUCUUAGUUGAUUUAUAUUUUUAACUAAAUUUAUUUUUAAAUGAAAUAAGCGAAACGGAUAACAUGCGCUUUUGGAAUAUCUUGGGAAGGACUGUGUCCGACGAAUGCGUCCAACGGAACUUUCGAGCUACAUAAGCUGGCCCAGUUGACCUAAAUGGGCCCACCAACUUAUUUAUCUUUUAGUUCAUUACUACUACCAAUCAUCAAUCCUCUUUAUAUUAUAACGAAAAAUAAAAUAAAAAAUAUGGAUUUGGGCCAAACCCAAAAGGAAAUUAAAAAAAAAAAAAAAAAAAAAAAAAAACGCGGUCGGACGCGAUUAACCUUGGAGUCAACAACCCACCCACCGCCCGAGCCCCUCAUUGUCGGUGCACCGAACACUCCAAUUCUUUCAUUUAAACCCUGGACUUUAUUAGGUAUCUCACUCACUCACUCACUUGUUGGGGUGUGGGGUUGUGGUGGGUUGUGGUGUUGUGGGCUCCUUCCCAACUAUACGUCGCCUCAGAUCUAAAAGUACCAAGUGCUGCGUUGCCUAUUUCUCUUAUUUUUUUUCCACCGUUUGGUCCAAGUUAUAUUCAAAAAAAAAAAGAAAAAAAAAAUUAAAAGAGAAUCUUAUGUGGAAUAUGCUUCCUCACAAAAUAGGAUAAUUUUUUGAAUGCGCCGUCCUUAGUAGACCGUAAAUGUUAUACUUACAAAUAAAUUUUAAAAAAACUUCAAAUAUCAUUUCUAUGAUUCCGCGCUUUCUCAUUUUAGUACUCUGUACUUUAAAAUGUAUUACUUUCGUACCAUAUGAUUUUACUUUUUUUUCUUUUCGUUAUUUUUUUAUUAACUUUUUCGUUAAAUCAGUGAUAAAGUUAAAAUUAUAGGGUUCUAAAUUAAAUAUUCGAUAAACCACAGAAUAUUAUUUGAAGUUUUUCGUAUAUAAUUUAACGGAGAGUUAACGGAGGCGCUGACAAAAAGAAAAAAAUAAAACCGCAUGGUACUAGAGUGAUACACUUCAAAUUAUAUGAUAUUAAAGUAAGAAAUCACGAAAUCACGAUGAUGGUAUUUGAAGUUUAUUCUAAAUUUUAUAAUACUUCACCAAUUAUCACACAUGACCUUAUUUUACUGAUAGAUAAGUACAAAUCUCGAGAUGGUAAAAUAUAAUUUAUAGUUUUAAGAUUGAAAUCUAGUUGUUGCACUUUAUAAAUAUGAUGUAUUUCUUGCACUCACUAUUUAUGAGUUUAAUUCUCUUUGUGAAAAUUUAAUAUUAAAAAAAAGAUUAAUAAGACUAAAAAAACAGAAGAUAUUUUCGAAUGAACAGGGUAUCAUAUUUACACCCUAUUUAUAUGUGUACAACUCGCAUUGCUUUGAAGUAUAUUAACAUAAAAAAAUUAAAAUUAGUUAUCAUCUAUAACUUUUAAAUUUGUUAUUAGAAUAGUUUUAGAAAGUCCCCGAGAGUAUUAUUUUUAUAUAUAAUUAAAGGUAAAAAUGUAAAGAGAUAUUGUAAACUUUAGCUCUUUUAUAAAAAAGCGCUUGAACUUUCAAAUUUGAUUAUUACAUUUUCUAAACUUUUUUAAAUAGUUUAAUAGAUCUUUCUUUUUAAGUGAGUUUACUAAUUACACAGUUAUUUUGAUCGGACGUCAUGCACAUAAUCAUGUAAAAUUUCAAAAUAUAAAAAUUUAAUUUUUCUCUCUAAAUUUUAAUAAUUAAGUAUGAAGAUUGAAGAGUUGGUUGAAUCGAAUUUUAAUUUCUAUCGCUUUUUUUACAUUUAAGAGUACAAAGAAUAAAUUAUUUGUGUUUUAAAGCUUUAUAAAAUUUUGAAUAUGUAAUUGCCAAAAUUAAAAACUCAGGCAUGUAUCUACAAAGGAGCGAACCUUUAGGUGGUCUCUGUAUAUUUUACCCUAAUAUAAUUGUUGGGACCUAAAAUGUGAGGAUCUUUAAUUGAUUUAUAUAUGUAUUCUAUAGUGCCACGUAAAUUUACCGAUACAUUACUAACGCAUGGAAAAUUAUCUGAAUAAUUAUAAAAAUUAGAGAAAAAAGUUAUCACAUAUUAUGAUUAUUUUAUUUACAUGUAAAAUCUUUUUAAGUAUUAUAAAAUAUAAAUCACACCCACCUAUAAAUUAAGAUUUUAAUUUAAAAUUCUUAAUGAUUAAAUUUAAAAAAGGCCGCGGUGUAUACACCACGGUGCAUGCAAAAAAUAGUUUCUGAGCAAAAUAGACCAAUUUGACGUGACGUUGAACCAAUGCGAGAGACUCUUCAGAUUAUUCCUCAAAUUUCACAUUAACCACAUUAUCUUUAAUAAAAAAAAAUAAAUUAAAAUAAAAAAUGAAAUAAAAAUUAAUAAUAAGGUUAGUUACUAUUAAUGUUAGGCCAAUAAGUACGUCGUAAUUUCGCAAUACCCCCAAUUCACAGUUUCCGCGGCUUCUCCCGCAAAUGGUAUGCAUAUAAAUCCGAUCCCUCCCCGUCUCUAUUCAACUCUCCGAUCCGAUCCGAUCUGAUCUAAAACCCUCGGAUCUCACCAUUGUUUCGCGAUUUUUCGCAGUAAUCAGCUCAAUUACUAGCCGAUUCUCACGAUCCCCUGCUGGAUCUCGAGCUAUUGGUGAUGAGGUGGGGUUUUCUCGUCUUUUUCUGAUGAAUUUUUCGUGAAUUUUGGGUUUUUGUUGUGGUUUUGAGGUGAUUGUUGUUAGAUCGUGCGUAGGUGAGCUUGGAUUUUGAGGUGCCGAGGUUGCGGAGGUGUGAUUUUGGGGGGAUUUGGAGAGGGGGAAAUUGUUUGAGAUGGGCGAGGGCGAGCGGUUCCAGUUGGGGACCGUUGGCGCGCUGAGCCUCUCGGUGGUGUCGUCGGUGUCGAUCGUUAUCUGCAACAAGGCGCUCAUCAGCUCGUUGGGAUUCACAUUUGGUAAUAGAUCUGAUGAUCUCCUCUCUUUUUUUUUUUUCUUUCUCUUUUCUAUUCGUAUUAAUAGUAGUGAUAUAGUAUACGAUGUUUGGUAGGUGUGAUCUGAUUUAUUGUAUUUUUGGUUCUUGGUGGAGCAUACGGACAAUUUGUAGAUGUCGAUUGAUUGUUUUUAUGGAUUGUUUCAUGUUUCAUAUUUGUUUUUUGAUGUAUGUAGUUGAUAGUAAAAAUACCUUUAAGUUUUUGAAAAAAAUAAUUAUUUCAUAUAAUUUAACAUAUAAUAUCAUAGCAAGAGGUUACGAGUUUGAGUUCCGUCAGGUUUUUAGCGUUACAAUUCCUCCCGUUUAAUUCAAGCCCACGUUUUGGGCCUUAAUGAUUGUUUUUAUAAUUUAACGUACCUUUUGGUAAUUUGGAUAGUUCUCUCAAGAGAGGAGUUGCCUACAUGAGGAGGAAAAAUCACAACUUUUUGUUUUGGGAGUUGUAUUAGGUCUUAAGGCAUUAAUUGGCCAGAGAAGUAAAUGAUGUUCGAUCAAUUCGGCCUGAUCUGUAUCGUUAACCAUGAGUAAAAACAGAAAUGGAUCAAUUCGGCCUGAUCUGCGGUAUAUGGGGUAGGUCCUCCGUCGGUGUAACUGUCCAUUGUUGAUAUUGUAUUGGUUCCUCGACUUUAUCCUCUUGCGUUAGAAAUGCAGUCUAAGGUGUCAUAUAUUUAUUUGUUGCUUGUGUUGAAUGGAGGACUAGUGGUAUGAUUUUAUGAGAUGGAAACAUGUUAUAACAUAAAUUUGCUAGUUUAAGAAGGUAAGGUAUCAUAAUUAGUUUCCAUAAGAUGUAGGGGAGAAAUGAACUUGGCGGCUUCGAACAGAUGAGAGCUUUUAUAGUCCCAAUAUUCAAAAUUUAAUUACUCUGAUGACAUCUUGCCCUGAUCUGUGUUUUGCAGCCACUACUCUGACAAGCUGGCAUCUUCUAGUUACAUUCUGUUCUCUUCAUGUGGCCUUGUGGAUGAAACUUUUCGAGCACAAGCCUUUUGAUGCUAGGACUGUUAUGGGCUUUGGGGUGCUUAAUGGAAUCUCUAUUGGGCUAUUGAACUUGAGUCUUGGUUUCAAUUCGGUUGGCUUUUAUCAGGUGCAUAUCGCUUUCGUAUUCUUCUUUACUUGAUUUAGUCAAGGAAGUGAAAGAGGCAUAUGAUAGUUAAGAAACCUUAGUCUAUGCCGAGUCAAAUAAGAUAUCACUACUAAAUCAGAAUUCAUUGGUUUUUGCCGAUCUAUUAUGGUGGUAGUGCCUCUUGGAUGUGUUUGUGAUAUUUCUUUUUCUUUACAGAUGACAAAGCUUGCUAUUAUCCCUUGCACUGUCUUGUUGGAGACUCUUUUCUUCCUCAAGAAGUUCAGGUUUGUUUACCAUUUCUUUCUUUUAUUGUUAACCAAUCAAAUCCAAAGAAAAUGACGGCUUUUUUUAGAGUUUUUUUAGUUAGUACUCCAGAUUUUAACUAUUAUUGGAAUGAGUAAUCUCGUGCAUGGCCAAUCAAUAUCUUAGCUUGUUGGCUUACAGAAGUAUAUGACAAAAUUCCUUGAGAAAGAAAUAUUAGGAGAAAGCAAAUGAUAGAGUAAUGGCUGGUGCUGGUACAACUAUUCUUUUUCUGAUUCAUUAUCUUCACUUGUCCCUGCAGUAGGAAUAUCCAGCUCUCGCUUACUAUUCUCCUUUUGGGUGUCGGCAUCGCUACUGUGACAGAUCUGCAACUCAAUGCUCUAGGAUCUAUACUGUCUCUACUUGCAAUUAUUACGACUUGCAUAGCUCAAAUUGUAUCCUUGAACAAGUUUCUUUUCCGUGAAGUGUUCAGAGCCCUGUACGUCAGUUAUGUUGCAUUAUGGCUUAAUUCACCAAACACAGUUUACUGCUAUCGAAUAUUUUGGAGGUAUUGUUUCUGUUUUUCUUUUUUCUCCAAAAAUGUUCCUUGACCAGUUAUCAGAUGACAAACACUAUUCAGAAGAAGUUCAAGGUGUCUUCGACCCAACUACUGUACCAAUCUUCCCCUUAUCAAGCACUGACCCUAUUUGUCAGCGGCCCGUUUCUUGAUGCUUUCUUAACGAAUCAAAACGUCUUUGCUUUCCAUUAUACACCUGAAGUUCUGGUAAGCAGUAAAAAUAUUAUUUAGAAAAUCCUCUUUUUUCUCAUUUUUCUUACUUUGUGAUAUAAAUCGGUUGCUUUUUGCUGCAGUUCUUCAUCACAUUGUCGUGCCUAAUAGCAGUAUCUGUCAACUUCAGCACCUUUCUUGUGAUUGGAAAGACGUCUCCCGUCACUUAUCAAGUCCUGGGCCAUCUUAAAACGUGCCUUGUUCUGGCUUUUGGCUAUGUUUUGCUUCACGAUCCAUUUAGUUGGAGAAAUAUACUUGGAAUUCUAAUUGCGUUGGUUGGGAUGGUCUCUUAUUCAUAUUUUUGCACCAUUGAAGGCCAGCAGAAAUCUAGCGAAGCAUCUGUGCAAGUAUCACAGGUACUGCCACUAGAAUUACAUUACAUUUGGUUGAUCACUAACUAGACUCUCCCAAGUAAUUGCUUGUUUUGAAGUGGGCAAGCGAAAUUUAAAACAUUAUGGUUUCAUCAAGUUAAAUAACCGAUAAAUUCUCACAGAGCGGUAAUUUAGACAAACAUCCCGGUAACAUUUAAACUUCGAAUUUUCGUUUCCCACUUCAAGAUGCCAUAAUAGUUUAGUUACCUUUUCCCUAAGGUAAGCAUUGAAAAACAAUGUACUGAUAGUCUGAUGCAAAUCAUGAGAGUUUCCUUUCUAAUAUAUCUGUAUUCUUUCUUUAAUGUUCUGAUCACAGGUAAAAGAAAGUGAAUCCGACCCCUUGAUCUCCGUCGAGAAUGGAUCUGGUCCUGUUAGCGACGGUGCUGCUCCGAAAGCUCCGAUGUGGAACUCCGACAAAGAUUUGCGUGCAUAAAAUUUUGCUCGGUCCGCAGAUUUUAUACACACAUCUGAAGUUAAUAGGGCUUCAGCUUUUAGGGGGUCGGAGCGCGACCCAGCCUACUUCACCCAGUCAAGUUAAUUAAGUUACCUAUCAAAGAAGAACUUGUAUUGAUUACAUUUUAUUCCUAUGCAAUUUUUGUCUGUGCUUUUACUAGGUAAGUGUAAAGAACACAUUAUUUUUCAGGCGUGGCGCCCUAAUUAAUGAAUUGUUUUUACCAGGUUUGCUUCUUCUGUUAGACUCAUCCAAUGCCUAUUUCUAGAGAUCGCUUCUAUUGAGCCAUUAACUUAAAAAAGCACUUCUUCUAUUAAACUGUAUUAGAAUAUUUUCACUUAUGAGACUACUCACACUAGGGAACCACAUAAGAUACAUGUACAUUGCUCACUCAGAAACAUGAUGUGCUGCUAAAAGACUAGCAAUUACUCUGUUGCUUUGGCUAAAAGACUAGCUUCUAAAUCAUCCUUUUCUUCUUCUCCAGCUACCCCAGUGAGCUUCUCAGCCCUCUCAGCCUGGGCCUCCCAAUCCAUGUUCCUCACCGUAUACAUCAUAAGGCCCGCGCACGACGCCUGGGCCGCCACUAGGCCCAGCCACAGCCCGAGAAAACCGAGCCCGAGCCUCAAGCUCGCAAGAACUGCGACCGGAAGCCCAACGAGAUAGAACGAGCUGAAGUUGAUGUUUGCGCCGACAGUGGGCCGCGCGCUCCCCCUGAGAACCCCGCAGCCAGCCGUCUGCGGGCAGUUUCCGAGCUCGCAGAAGCCCACUAUCGGGAGCGCUGCGGCCGUCAGCGCCAGUAUUUUUGGCUCGUCGGUGAACAUUCUCCCCCACGCAUGCCGCACCGCCACGGUGAAGAGAAAGGCCAGAAGCCCACAGGCCGCAGACGCGUAAAGGCCCACACUCGCGGCGAGCCUGGCCCGGGCCGGGCGGUGGGCCCCCAAUUCGUGGCCCACCCGGGUAGACAGGCCCAUGCUUAACGAGGACGGCAGGACGUAAACGAGACCCGUUGUCUGUAUCAAGACGCCCAUCGCGGCCACGUUGGGCUGCGGGUCGGGCAGCAGGCCGCAGAGGAUCAGCAUCACCUCAUACCACCACCACUCGAGGCACACCGAUACCGCACUCGGCACCGCGAGAGAAAUGAGAUGCCCCCAUUCCCUUAGGUCCCCCGGGAACGAGGCCCAUCCGGCCCACGGUUUCAGAACAUCGUCGAAGAGGAGGAGAAAGCCCAUCAGGCCCAAGUUGAUGUUUAUAGUGUUCCAGGCCGAGGCGAGAGCCACCCCUCGGACCCCCAAGCCCAUGUAGGACACGAGGAAGCAGUUGAUCGGCGCGUGGAGAAGGAUCGCGAAGGUGGCGCAGAAGGUGAGCGGCCUAGUUAAGCUUUGGGCCCUUAAGAAUAUCCUCAGCGGGUGUAAGCAGGCUUGGGCCAAGAGGUCGGGGAGCGAGAAUAGCAAAUAGUCGCGGGCUUGGGCCGUGAUUUCCUUAUCCUGGCCCAAGUAGAGGAGAAUCGAGUCCAUUUUGAGCCAGAGGAGCGAAAUGGGGGCGGCGGCGAGCAGGAGGAGGAGGAGAGUCUUCUGAAAGGCUUGGCCCAGCACGGCCCAUUUCUUGGCCCCAUAGGCCUGGCCGCAGAUGGGCUCCAUGCCCAUGGCCAGGCCCUUGAGCACGGAGUAGCCCGUGAUGUUGGCGAAGGCGAUGGCGAGGGAGCCGCCCGCCAGCUGGGCGUCGCCGAGGCGGCCCAGGAAGAGCAUCGAGACGACGGAUCUCGAGUAGAGGAGGAAGCUGGUGAUCAUGAUCGGCCACACGAGGCGGCCCAGCGACACCAGCUCUUCGCCUACCUGCACAUGCAGUAGAAAUAGUAAAUCACACAAUAACAUGCCAAAAAGUAAAAAAAAAAAAAAUAAAAAAAUAAAACAUUAUUAUCCAACUCUUAACGGCAUUUAUAACAUCUUAAAUGAACAACAAGCCAAGCCAUAAUAGUACUGCACGCAUUUCAUGCGCUUGCGUUUUAAUACUUAAAGCCAAAAAAAGGGUAGUUCUAAUGAUUCUUUUAAUAUAAGAUCUGUUUGUAGUUUCUGACUCAGUUUUAAAUGCUAAGAGUGUAAGCGUACGCACACCUCGUUGUAAGUGACUUCAUUACUCGGUAAUGUAAAGUUUCUAUCUCGAGAACAUUAAGUUUACUUGAGAAAAAUUCAUAGAAACUUCAUAGAUUCUAUUCUCAAAAUUCUAUAUUGGAAAUUGAACAAAUUCCUUGUAAAACAAAUUAUUGGUACAAUAACAACCUCGAACUUUUAAAUAGACAUUUCAAAUCCUUUAACUUUAAGAACAACUAAUUAAUACCACACCAAGACAAAUGGUAAUAAUAAUAAGAGAAGAAAAUAAUGCACACUAGCCACGAAUCUUCAUUCUGAAGACCAACAAAACUUUCUAAAGAGAGAAUUUUCAACUCAAACAUAGUCGUUACGCCAUAGUCUACGAUGAUAGUUGGCGUUUCGUACCGUACUAUUUUACUAACUGACAGACAGUUGCACGCGCAUGGAGCUAGUAGAAUUGUAACGCCAAGUACCUGGCGUGUGGACUGCCAUUGUCGUUACACGAGACAGACGCGUGCCGAGAGCUGCGCGCAGUGCAUGUGCACAGAAUUUAAAUUUUUGGAAUAAUUAGAAAGAAAAAAAGAAACAUGCAAGCAUAGAUUUGGCUUGACCUAUCAAAUGCAAUCUUGAAUUGCUAACUAUGAGCUCCAUUCUCAACGGCCAAUGGUCCCAUAAACCCUAAAAGCUAAAGUGACUAUGUAUAGACUCUCAUGCACCCAAGUUGUAAUGCCCUAGUUUCAAACAGCCCCUGUUGUAUUUGUGGGUGUAGAAUUGGGUGCUCAAAUGUUUGGUGCAUAGAGUUGGUGUAGUUGUCAUGCUAAAAGGCCCAUCUCAGCAAAGGCAUGGUCCAGGACAAGACAAGAGCAAACCCUACGUGAGGGAGGCCUCGUGGAGGUUGGCUUUAGCACUCUUUGCUAUGAUCACCACCUCUCUCUCUCUCUCUCUCUCUCUCUCUCUCUCUCUCUCUCUCUACAUACCAAGCCAUAUUGAUAAGCAAAAUUCUCUCUCUCUAUACAUGCCAAGCCACUUUGAUAAGAAAAAUAACUUGGGCUCUGUUAUGGAUACUUGAUCUUAUUAUCAUUAAUGUAUCCAUAUGUAUGUAUAAGAUGAGUAAUUUAUACGUCAUACAUUAGUAGGCCAACACAUCAGUAGCUCAUAAUAAUAUGAUCCAGUAGUUCUAUUCUGUACUGAUAUAAUUAAGUAUGGUUGCAUAAUUACAAAGGUGCCCAUAUAUACCUAGCUUAGAAAAAAUAGAGAAGCAUGGAGAGAGAGAGAGAGAGAGAGAGAGAGAGAGAGAGCACUAAACCACCAAGUUGACUCUCACUUUCCAUCUAACUCUCUAACAUAUUUCAACAUACAUUUAGUUAAUCUUUGCAAAAAAAGAAAAAAGAAAAAAAAAAGCUGUAGCUAUUAAUUAAAUGCAUGGUAUGAUAGAAGUUUCUAUAACAGAAGAAGAUAAGGAGAAAAGGUCAAAAAAAAAAAAAAAAAAAAAAAAAAAAAAAAAAAAAAAAAAAAAAAAAAAAAAAAAAAAAAAAAAAAAAAAGAAGAAGAAAAGAAAAGAAGGAAGAGGAGGAGGGACAUAUAUGAAGAUCAUAAAUAUAUGAAUAUGCACCUCAUGGAGAUUUGGCCACCCCAUUGAUCCAUCAUUUAGCACCUUCUCUUCUCCUUCACUCCCCUUUAGAUCUUCCGUCGCUCUCGUUGUCGCAACAACGGCGCCCUCGUCGCACGGCGCUCGAUCGGGCUUAUUGCUAUUGUCCAUGGAGGCUCAAUGUAAUCAACAAGAAGGAAAAUGUGAGAGUGAGAGGAUAAAGAGAGAGAGAGAACAAAAACUAUGGGAGAGUGAACAAAGUAAACGAGGUGCGUUGGGCUUUUUAUAGGGUGUAUAUAGGUGCAAAGAAGAGGAGAAGGGACAAAAAAAGUAAAGGAGCAUGUAUUGAAAUGUGGCAAGAGCUAGAGUGUUUUACUUUCUAACCGAAUCAUAAUCCUUUUCACUACUUACAUUUUAUGUUUGAUGCACAAAAAUUUAUCCCCGGAAUCCGUCGUUUACGUUAUUGCUUUAAGAUUCGAGCCAAUGGCGUGAUAGAACGACAGAUCAUGCGAUUUUGCGUUGGUUAAUUCUUCUUUUCUUUUCUUUUCUUUUUUUUUUCCGUACAGAGAGUUCCAUACAUGUGUUAAGACUAAUUCUUAAUUAUCUUUUCUUGAUAACCCACACAGACCCUCGGAAUUUACAAAAUUAAUCAACUGACGAACCUGUGGGAGAAGCUCAGUCCAGUGGAGCGACAUAACACUAACCGGUAGUGUCGGCCAAUAGUCGGCCAGUGUGUGUUGACCAGAUUGUUGUUUUUUUUUUUUUUUUUUUCGCCACCUCUCGAGGGCUAUGAUGUCUCAUCCAUGUUAUUUAAUUUACCGGCUGAAUGCCUCUUUCUCAAAAAAAAAUUUUUCUUUUUUCUCUUGAUCAAUUUUUUGAAUAAUACGGCAUCAGAACAAAUCACUAACUCUCUACAUUCCAAGAGACCUGCUUAUAUAUAAGUUAACUUUCUUAUAAUUUACCUGAUAUCAACUAUGACUGCAUGCAUGGAAAAUAUGAUUCCCACAUAAAGAAUAAAACCGUAACGGGGAAGUAAUAAUAAGAGUACAAUAAUAAUAUAGGGAACUGGGGUAAUAUUUAUGAACAAAGUCACAAUUUUGUACCAGGGAGCCUAAUUAGUAGAUAAUGCCUCUGUUGGAUCCCUAUUCUCUCUAUUCUUCGUAAUUAAUUAGUCUAACAUUUUAGAAAAUCACACUUUCUAAAACUGUUUGUUAUGAAUAAUAAUUAAGCUUAUUUCUACUCCAGGGAGCAAUUACAUAUGAAUUGCCAAAAUUAUUUUUUUUUUUUGUUCAAAUUACCAAAACUGUUUAUUUUAUAUAUUUUUACAUCGUUUUAUAAUGAUCUCUUAAAAUUUUCCAACAUUAAUCGAUCGAGUAGUAGAACACGAAUUUUUUCGAAUGGGUCGAUUUAUACUGUUCAAUUUACCUAACUCAAAUCAAACUCAUUUAUAUAGUUAGCACACUUACUUCACUCGAUUUUGUGGCUCGGCCUCAUCGAUCCGUUUUAUUAUGUCAUGUCUCCAUCUUUUUUUUAAAAUUAUUUUAUUUUUGAUGAAUAGGUUUGGUUUUCUUUCUUACUCUGAGCAAAUCACUUGUACAUUCAAAUGUGAGAUGUAAAUUUUAUAUCUGCAUAAAAUAAAAAAAUUAAAUACUUUUUUCAUAUUUUUAAUAUUAAAAAAAUUGAUAAAACUAGUGCCAUAAAAAUGACCAUUAGAUGAAAAAGGAUAAAAUUUACACCUAUCUUUUAGGUGUAGGAGGGGCAUUUCUCUAUCAUUAAUUGCCUUUUAUCUAUGCAUGUUAUGUAUAUAUGUUACUAUGGCAUCGAUCAACUGAUCUCAGCAUUGGUUUUGUGGCUCCAAGGAAAGAGUCUUAUUGACCUAAUGUGACUACGGUUUACGGUGUUUGAGGUUUACGGUGUUUGAGUCGGUACGAAAUCCCAUCCGUGAGAUAAUAAAUCCAAAUUUUCGUGUUUCGAUUCGUUAAAUCUUUGUAUGCUAUUUAUAUCAUAAAAAAAGUCUUAUUGACCUAAUGUGACUACGGUUUUCGGUGUUUGAGGUUUACGGUGUUUGAGUCGGUACGAGAUCCCAUCCAUGAGAUAAUAAAUCCAAAUCUUCGUGUUUUGAUUCGUUAAAUCUCAGUAUGCUAUUUAUAUCAUAAAAAAAGUCAUUUGUACAUUUAAAUGUGAGGUGUUUAUCUUAUAUCGGCACAUUCAAGAGUUUAAACACUCCUCUUAUAUUUUUAAUAUUAAAAAAUUAAAUAAAACUAGUAUGAUGAAAAUGACUAUUAGAUGCAAAAAUUAUAAGAUUUAUACAUACUUUUUAAAUAUAUGCGCAGCAUUUUUAUCUUUUCAAAAAAAAUAGAGAUUAAUGGUUCUUAAAACUAUAUAUGGGUUGCAUUUUAGUUUUCAAAUUUUAAUUUUUUUAUUAAAUACAGGUUUUUUUUUUGAAAAAAUAACACAUAAGUAUAAAGAUUAAAUGACAUGAACUUCAGUCCCAAGUGACAAACAUAACAUUGAAACUUGAUAGUUAUCGACCGUACUCUAAUAGUUUGAAUAAACUGAAGAGUGACAAAUUAAACAUCAAAGAUAUUAUCGUAUUUGGUAAAUUAAACAUUAUUAUAUGUUUCUAAUAAAACACAAAGUACCAAACAUAUAUAUAUAGGUUGCAAAGUUGCUAUCAUAGUGGAAAUAAACAGUUCAAUCGUACAGUUGCUCCAGCUUAAAGUUACUAAUUGUUUAUACCUAUUACCUAAAGUUAUCUCCUUAUUCUUAUUAGUUAUUAAUCUAAAGGUAAUUAAGUUUUGAAUUGCUUAAGCCCCACCUAUUGGAUUUUGACAACCCCACAAAGCUACAUAUAUUUUAUUAUUAUUAAGCAAAUUACGUGGAACAACUACCGCGUUUUGUUUAGGUAUUUAAUUAAUAUACCGAACCACGGAUUAAGAGUACACGUGGGUGCAUUGCUCAAUAAUAAUAAAAUUUUUUGCAGGCUCAAAUCGAGUUGAUCAUCUUAAUCUUAUACUUUCGUAUAAAUAAAUUAAUUACAGCAAAAAAUUAAGUGUAUAUAUAUACAUAUAAUUAAGAUCCUACUUUUUAAACUUAAUCCCGGAGCUAGCAUAGGGUUUUUGGCCCCAAACGUAGGCGGUUUGAGACAUACUAUGGGUGCAUGUUUUGUAUAGAAUAUAUUUUUACUAACUAAUAAUCACGGAGUUUUGGAGCAUAUAUAUGUUUCGAUCAUUGGUGAUGGCUCUUUCUGAUAUAAAAAAUUAAAGAUUAUUUUACUUUUUUACGUUUUAUAUUCUAAAUGACUAAUUAUGUUUCAAUCACGUGUUGUACUAUUGAGAUAAUUUUUAAUUGCACCGCUUUAAAUGAAACAAUAUAGGAGUGUUUAGCAAUCGCGUGAAUGCGAGCAAAAAACCAUGAUAAAGAGUGACGUUUAUUUAUGUGUGUAAAGAUGUAUGCCGCAGAUCCUGCAGUUUGUUUCAUUAGAAAGCAAAGUAUGUAUAUUUGUAUGCUUUGACUCUGAUCCGAGAAUGUUUAGUUCAUACUUGAAAUGAAAAUCAGAAUAAAAAUUUACGAUUUUUGAAAGAAGAUUUUGAUUAAGAAAAAUGAAACUGAUAAAGAGAGAGGAAAUAGGUGUCGGUAAAAAAGAAUUUUGAAUAAUUUACUAUAAAAUGAACUAAUCAGAAAUUUAAAGCCGGAUUGAACUAUAAAUAGAUUUAGUCAUCUCCAUUCCGGGAUGGAAUGAAAACCGAAAUUCGAUUCUUAUAAAAUAAAUAACAAUUAUCGAACUCAAUGAAUUUUAUUAUAAUAUUAUAAUUUAAAAUAGGUGAAUCAAACGUAUACUUCUUGAUCAGUACCGUUUGGUUCGGGUAUAAGCAAGAACUAGCUAUUACAGGGAUAGGUACAAGUAUGGGGAUAAGAAAAAUAGUGUUUGGAUGAAAAUUGGGUUGUUCCCGGGAAUAAGAAUAAUUUUAGAUAGUUUUAUAUAGAAAAUGAAGGUGUUGGUGGAGAUAACCGAGAACUACUAUUCUCGGAUAAAAAAUUACCGUUUGGGUAUAAAGGGAGGAUAAAGGCCUAUUCGUAUUCCUAUUCUCUAACCAAACGCUUCAGAGUCUCUAGCCAUGGAAAAGAUGAAUUUUAACUUUUUUGAGAAAAAAAUGUUUAUAGGAAAUUGAGCGAGCAUAGCACUACUCAACUAGUAAUCCUAGUCCCCAUCAAACGAGCUGGACUUGUGACUUAAAUUGAGGAGUAAAACUAGGGGCGGACGUGGAAUUGAAAAAGUAGCGUAAACAAACCAAUCCAAGUUGACAAUUUUGGUUUGAUAAUUUGAUUCGAUUUUGAUUGUAACUGUAACGUCGUAGUAGCCUCACAUUAGAUUAAAAAAAUAAUAUUGAUUGAAAUAUAUAAAAUCAUGCACGCUAAUAACAACAACUAGAUUUAAAUAUUUUGAACCGAUAGUUUAAGACCAACGAAUUAUCAUUACUAGCGGGUUUGGUCGUUAUAGUAAUCUGGUUCAAUUUUAAUUGUAAGUGGCCUACUUUUUGUUUGAAAAUUUUUCAAAUUAAUUUUUUUUGUCCUAGUAACCAACCAAAAUUUCAUGUGUUGGUGCAUGUAUCAAUAUAUAUAUAUAUAUAUAUAUAUAUAUAUAUAUAUAGAAUUAGGCUACUAUACUAUCUAUAGUACCGAGCUCCGGUACUAUAGUGUUUGUUUUCGAUCUUAGGGCGUUCAAAUCAAUGAUCCACACCGUUAAAUAUGAUCUAGGGUAUAUGAAUGUCUUAGGAAUAAAAUUUUAGUUUUUUUCGAUAUCGUUUACUUAGUAAAUAAAUUAUAUCAAAAUGGACGGUGGAAAUUGAAUAAUCUUUAAAAUUUGAGUAUAGGACUUUUAAAUUUAAGAUCAAGAAUGUUAACCUUAAUCUAUAUAGUUUAAAGUAUUUUCUAUCAAAAUUUGAAGAAAUUUAGAUUCUUCUACACCGUUAAACUCCAAACUUGUCAUAAUAGCCAUUGAAAAUUGACAAUUUUGAAAUAGUUUGAUCAUAAAGUAAACUAUGUCGAAAAAUUAUAAAAUUUUAUUUCUAGAAACUUUAAAUACCCUAGAUCAGUUUUAACGGUGUGGAUCAUUGAUUUGAACGCCCUAAGAUCGAAAACCAACACUAUAGUACCGGAGCUCGGUACUAUAGAUAGUAUAGUAGCCUAGCUCUAUAUAUAUAUAUAUAUAUAUA